AUUUGAUGUCCAAGAUGGUAGAACAUUGAUUGCUGUGACUAAACAUUGUUGAUGGAAAUUUGGAGUCAACUUGCAGCAGGAAAAAUGGCAGAGGCUACUAUCCUGGUGGUACGAAGGCCCUAUUUAGAUCCAGGGGCUAUAGCUAGGUUGAGCUAGUUGAGACUCAACUAACCCUUAAAACAUCCAAACAUAUGGGCUAGUUUGAGUUAGAUUGGAACUAGCCCACCAAAAAAACUAUCCCUGUAAAGUGGUGCUAAUUGGAGCUAGUUGUGGUGGGACAAAAAAAAAACAUAUUUUUCUCCCUCACCGAGCCGCACCAGAUCUCCUUCACCCCGCCGCCCCCGUCCUCCUCCACCCCGCCGCCCCCGUCCUCCACCCCGCCGGCCCCGCCCGCCCGCCACCGUCNCCACCACCGCCGGCCCCGACCGCCCGCCACCGUCGCCCCCGUCCGCCUCCAGUCCGCCGGCCCCGUCCGCCCAUCACCGUCGGCCCCGUCCGCCUCCACCCCGUCGGCCCCGUCCGCCCACCACCGCCGGCCCCGUCCGCCUCCACCCCGUCGGUCCCGUCCGCCCACCACCGCCGGCCCCGACCGCCCGCCACCGUCGCCCCCGUCCGCCUCCAGUCCGCCGGCCCCGUCCAGUCUNNNNNNNNNNNNNNNNNNNNNNNNNNNNNNNNNNNNNNNNNNNNNNNNNNNNNNNNNNNNNNNNNNNNNNNNNNNNNNNNNNNNNNNNNNNNNNNNNNNNUUAUCAUUGGUUUGAGAUUAUCCCUCUACAUCAUGUCAUCUUGCUUAAGGCGUUACUCUGUUCUUAUGGACUUAAUACACUAGAUGCAUGCUGGAUAGCGGUCGACGUGUGGAGUAAUAGUAGUAGAUGCAGACAUCAUCGGUCUACUUGUUUUGGACGUGAUUCCUAUAGAAAUAAUCAUUGCAUAGAUAUCGUCACGAUUUGCGCGAUUCUAUCAAUUGCUCGACAGUAAUUUGUUCACCCACCGUCUACUUUCUUUCAUGAGAGAAGCCACUAGUAAACACUACGGCCCCCGGGUCUAUUCACAUCCAUCGUUUACAUCUCCGCUUUUACUUUGCUUUGUUACUUUGUUGCUUUCAGUUCUCACUUGGCAAACAAUCUAUAAGGGAUUGACAACCCCUUCAUAGCAUUGGGAGCAAGUUUUUGUGUUUGUGCAGGAUCUUGAGAUACUCCUCCACUGGAUUGAUACCUUGGUUCUCAAACUGAGGGAAAUACUUACCACCGCUAUGCUACAUCACCCUUUCCGCUUCGAGGGAACACCAACGCAAGGCUCCAAGGCCACGGGGGAAAUCCUUUGCAUACUUGCCAUGGAAGUCCCUUAAGGCGUAGUCGCAGCAGAAAGAUCAAGCCAAGUAUUCUCCCGUCGACGUGCCUAUUUCUUGCGCCGUUGGAAGGUCUUUUGUUGUAGUCGCAGAAGUAUUUCUGGCGGCGUUGCCGGGGACGAGAAAUCAAGAUCUAUCCAAGUAGGUCUCACAAACUCUUCUCUUGCAUUUACUUUUGUUGCGAGUUGCCUCUCGUUUUCCUCUCCCCCACUUCACAUUUGCCAUUUUCAUUUGCCUUUCUCCUUUGCCUUUUUCUUUGAUUUUUUUGUUUGCCUUUUCGUUCGCCCUUUUCUCUCUCUUGCUUUAUGUUCGCUUGUGUGCCAUAUGCCUUCAAUAUGCUUGCAUCUUCGCCUGCUGAAAAUCUAUUGAUAUGGAUCCUCAUCCACUAGCUAGUCUCUUUAAGAGACCCACUAUUGUUGAACAAAUUGCUAGUGAGUUGAGGACACUUGACUAUCUUUAUGGAGUUUUGCUUGAGAGGCGUGAAUCUGAAAAUUGUGUGGAAGAAAACUAUGAAGCGAUUCGUGAGGGUUCUUUGGAUGAAAAGCAUGAUUGCAAUGGUUUCACUAUAAAUUCUAUUAGUGAUAAUCAUGCUAAAGUUAUGCAAAACCCUAAGCUUGGGGAUGGUAGUCUUGCUAUGACCACUACUUGUUGCAAAGAUCAUGAUUGGGGUGAUGAUUUUUCUUUUGAUCUUGAAAAUUCUUUCAAGCCUCAAGAUGAAUAUGAUAUUUGCAAUAUUAUUGAAAGUGGGUUUGGAGAAGUCAUGACUUUAGAUGAUAAUCCCACUAUUUUUGAAGAGCGUCAACUUUGCAUGCAUGUGGAUCAUGAAAAGAAUAUCCUAUGUGAUAGUUAUAUUGUUGAAUUCGAAUAUGAUCCCACAUGUAAUUGCUAUGAGGGAGGAAAAUAUUUUGGUAGAAACUUUCAUGUUACCAAAUUACCUCUCGUUAUGUGGAGAUUGCUAUUGUCUCUUUCUUCUUCCUUGCAUAUGGCAACUAUUGGUUGUCUUGACAAUCUGUUUUCCUAUAAAAUGCCUAUGCAUAGGAAGUAUGUUAGACUUAGAUGUGAUUUUCACAUACCUUAUGAUGCUCUCGUUGUGCCUCAAUUCUUGUCUUUUGUGUGAGCAUCAUUGACUUAUCAAUGCCUAGCUAAGGGCGUUAAACAAAAGCGCUUGUUGGGAGGCAACCCAACGAAUUUAUCCUUUUUAUUUCUGUUUUGUGUUUUCCACACUUUCAUAAUUCUGUUAUGAUUGUAUUUUUUGUGUUUCUUUUUGCGUUUGUGCCAAGCAAAACCGUUAUAAUUAGUCUUGGAGAUGAUCGUUUGGUCAUGCUGGAAAAGACAGAAACUUUCUACUCACGAAAAUAAUUUUCACUUUCUUUUGUAAGAGCUUUUGAGUUGAUUCUUUCUUCUGCUGAUUGCUACGCAAAUUCUUCAAACUGUCGUAAGUUUUCAGAAUUUUUGAAGUACCAUAGCUAUACGAAAUAUACAGAUUUCUACAGACUGGUCUGCUAUUAACAGAUUCUGUUUUUGUUGUGUUGGUUGCUUAUUUUGAUGAAACUAUGGAUAGUAUCGGGGGGUGUUAGCCAUGGAAGAUUGAAAGUACACUAACCCAACAUCAAGACAAGUAGAAUUUAAGUUUGCUACAGUACCUAAGGAAGUGGUGGUUUGCUUUCUUGUACUAAUGUUAUCACGAGUUCCUGUUUAAGUUUCGUAUUGUGAAGUUUUCAAGUUUUGGGUGAAGUUCUUAUGGACAAAGAGAUAAAGAGUGGCAAGAGCUCAAGCUUGGGGAUGCCCAAGGCACCCCAAGAGAUUCAAGGAUGUCGUAAAAGCCUAAGCUUGGGGAUGCCCCGGGAAGGCAUCCCCUCUCUCGUCUUCAAUCCAUCGGUAACGUUACUUGGGGCUAUUUUUUUUAUUCACCACAUGUUAUGUGUUUUUGCUUGGAGCGUCUUGUAUCGUAGGAGUCUUUUAUUUUUUUUGUGCCAUAAUCAUCCUUGCUGCACACCUAGAGAGAGAGACAUGCACACACCAUGAUUUUGUCGAGCUUCACUUAUAUCUUUUGGUAGACAAUUCAGCUCACAGGUGCUUCACUUAUAUCUUUUGAGCUAGAUACUUUUGCCCUAUGUGCUUCACUUAUAUCUUUUAGAGCACAGCGGUGCGUGGCUUGGUAGUUGAUCUAUGCUUUGAAAGUAGUCUCAAAAGGGGUAGUUAUCCAAAGGGAUACGAAAACUUCCAUCUUCAUGUGCAUUGAAUAGUUAGAGAAGUUUGAUUCAUCUCAAUUAGUUUUGAGUUGUGGUUAUGGUAAUAUUGAAGUCAUGCUAAUAAGGUGUUGUGGAUCUAGAAAUAGUUGUGUUGAAGUUAGUGAUUCCCAUAGCAUGCACGUAUGAUGAACCGCUCUGUGAUGAAAUCUGAGCAUGAUUAGUCUAUUGAUUGUCAUCCUUUGCGUGGCGGACGGGAUCGCGCGAUGGUUUAUACCUACCAACCCUUCCCCUAGGAGUAUGCGUUGAAUGCUUUGUUUCGAUUACUAAUAAAACUUUUGCAACAAGUAUAUGAGUUCUUCAUGACUAAUGUUGAGUCCAUGGUUUAGAUGCACUUUCACCUUCCACCAUCACUAUCUUCUUAGUGUCGUGCAACUUCCGCCGGUGCACAAAACCCACCAUUAGCCUCCCUCAAAACAGUCACCAUACCUACCUACUAUGGCUUUUUCAAAUUCAUUCCGAGAUAUAUUGCCAUGCAACUACCACCAUGACAUGUGCCACCACGUCUACAUUUCCAUUGCAUGAUCGUAAGAUAGCUAGGAUGAUGUUUCCAUUGAUGUCUAUGCUAUGCUAGAUCAUUUCCACGGUACACUACCGAAGGCAUUCCAUAUAGAGUCAUCGUUACUCUAAGUUUUGAGUUGAAAAGUGUGAUGAUCAUCAUUAAUGGAGCAUUGUCCCAUGUGAGGAAAUAAAAGAGGCCAAAGAAGCCUACCAAAAAAAAGAGGCCAAAGAACCCACCAAAAUAAAUAAAAAUAAGAGAAAAAGAGAGAAGGGACAAUGCUACCACUUUUUCCACACUUGUGCAUAUUAAGCACCAUGAUCUUCAUGAUUGAGAGUCUCUCGUUUGUCACCACCAUAUAGCUAGUGGGAAAUUUUCAUUAUAUAAAUUGGCUUUUAUAUUCCUAUGACAGGCUUCCUCAAAAUUGCCUUAGGUCUUCGUGAGCAAGCAAGUUGGAUGCACACCCACUAGUUUUCUUUAAGAGCUUUCACAUACUCAUAGCUCUAGUGCAUCAAUUGUAUGGCAAUCCCUACUCAUUCACAUUGAUAUCUAUUGAUGAGCAUCUCCACAGCUCAUUGAUAUGCCUAGUUAAUGUGACUAUCUUCUCCUUUUUGUCUUGCAACCUCCACUACAUUCCACACCAUCUAUAGUGCUAUAACCAUGGCUCACACUCAUGUAUUGCGUGAGAGUUGAAAAGGUUUGAGAAAGUAAAGGUGUGAAACAAUUACUUGGCCAAUACCGGGGUUGUGCAUGAUUUAAAUUCAUUAUGCAAUGAUGAUAGAGCAUAGCCAGACUAUAUGCUUUUGUAGGGAUAACUUUCUUUUGGCCUUGUUAUUUUGAAAGUUCAUGAUUACUUUGCUAGUUUGCUUGAAUUAUUAUUGUUUCCACGUCAAUAGCAAACUAUUGUUUUGAUCUAAUGGAUCUGAACAUUCACGUCACAUAAGAGGAAUUACAAAGGACACCUAUGCUAGGUAGCAUGAAAGCAUCAAAAAUUCAUUCUUAUCACUUCCCUACUUGAGGACGAGGAGGAGUUAAGCUUGGGGAUGUUUGAUACGUCUCAAAUGUAUCUAUAAUUUUUGAUGGUUUCACGUUGUUAUCUUGUCUUCUUUGGUUAUUUUAUGUACCUUUUAUAUCUUUUUUGGGACUAACUUAUUAAUUCAGUGCCAAGUGCCAGUUCCUGUUUUUUGUGUGUUUUUGACUCUUUUCAGAUCUGAUUUUGGAACAGAGUCCAAACGGAAGAAAAACCCUGAAAUGAUUUUUCCCGAAUGGAAGAAGAUCAGGGGGCCUUUGGGACAAGCCAGGUGGACUCCAGGGAGCCCACAAGCCCCCACUCCGCCACUAGGGGGGAGGCGGCGGUGGGCAGGCUUCUGGCCUCCCUCGCCGCCCCCUAACCUAGAUAUUUGGCCUAUAUAGUCCCUAAUAUUCCUCAAAAAAUCAGGGGUGCCUCGAAAAUACUUUUCCGCCGCCGCAAACUUUCGUUUCCGCGAGAUCUUAUCUGGAUACCCUUCCCGGUGCCCUGUCGGAGGGGACUUUGGAGUUGGAGGGCUUCUUCAUCAUCAUUAUCGCCCCUCCAAUGACUCGUGAGUAGUACACUUCAGACCUACGGGUCUGUAGUUAGUAGCUAGAUGGCUUCUUCUCUCUCUUGGAUCUUCAAUACAAAGUUCUCCAUGAUCUUCAUGGAGAUCUAUCCGAUGUAAUCUUCUUUGGCGGUGUGUUUGUCGAGAUCCGAUGAAUUGUGGAUUUGUGAUCAGAUUAUCUAUGAUAUAUAUUUGAGUCUUUGCUUAUUUCUUAUAUGCAUGAUUGGAUAUCCUUGUAAGUCUCUCCGAGUCUUUGGUUUUGUUUGGCCGACUAGAUCUAUGAUUCUUGCAAUGGGAGAAGUGCUUGGUUUUGGGUUCUACCAUGUGGUGACCUUUCCCAGUGACACUAGGGGCAGCAAGGCACACAUCAAGUAGUUGCCAUCAAGGGUAAAAAGAUGGGGUUUUUAUCAUUGGUUUGAGAUUAUCCCUCUACAUCAUGUCAUCUUGCUAAAGGCGUUACUCUGUUCUUAUGGACUUAAUACACUAGAUGCAUGCUGGAUAGCGGUCGACGUGUGGAGUAAUAGUAGUAGAUGCAGACAGUAUCGAUCUACUUAUUUUGGACGUGAUGCCUAUAGAAAUAAUCAUUGCAUAGAUAUCGUCACGACUUUGCGCGGUUCUAUCAAUUGCUCGACAGUAAUUUGUUCACCCACCGUCUACUUGCUUUCAUGAGAGAAGCCACUAGUAAACACUACGGCCCCCGGGUCUAUUCACAUCCAUCGCUUACAUUUCCGCUUUUACUUUGCUUUGUUACUUUGUUGCUUUCAGUUCUCACUUGGCAAACAAUCUAUAAGGGAUUGACAACCCCUUCAUAGCGUUGGGAGCAAGUUUUUGUGUUUGUGCAGGAUCUUGAGAUACUCCUCCACUGGAUUGAUACCUUGGGUCUCAGACUGAGGAAAAUACUUACCACCGCUAUGCUACAUCACCCUUUCCGCUUCGAGAGAACACCAACGCAAGGCUCCAAGGCCACGGGGGAAAUCCUUUGCAUACUUGCCUAGGAAGUCCCUUAUGGCGUAGCCGCAGCAGAAAGAUCAAGCCAAGUAUUCUCCCAUCGAUGUGCCUAUUUCUGGCGUCGUUGGAAGGUCUUUUGUUGCAGUAGCAAUAGCCUCUUGUGGGAGUUCAAUCCCCAGCUCAACUAGACGGUUUGAGUACCUAGAUAUUUUGAGCACAUGUUCACUGACAGACGAAUUCUCCUCCUUCUUGCAAGCAUAGAAUUUAUCGGAGGUCUCAUACCUCUUGAUCGGGCAUUCUUUUGAAAGAUAAACUUCAACUCCUGGAACAUCUCAUAUGCUCCAUGACGCUCAAAGCGCCGUUGAAGUCCCGGUUCCAAGGCAUACAAGACUACACAUUGAACUACUCAGUAGUCCUCCUUACGUGAUUGCCAAGCGUUCAAAACAUCUUGGUCAAACGUAGUAGGUGGUUCAUCUCCUAGCGCAGCAUCAAGGACAUAAUUAUUUUUCCCAGCUUGUAGGAUGAGCCUAAGAUUACGAGCCCAGUCUACAAAAUUUCAACCAUCAUCUUUCAACUUAGCUUUCUCUAGGAACGUAUUGAAAUUCAGGGUUGCUACUGCGUGAGCCAUUGGUCUACAACAUAAAAUAUUGCAAAGUGGAUUUAGACUAUGUUCAAGACAAUUAGAGUUUAACAAAUAAAACUACUAAUAAACUCCCACUCAAAUAUACAUCCCUCUAGUUAGUUGAGUGUGGCAUGAUCCAAAUUCACUAACUCAAACCCGAUCAUCACGUGAGUUGAGUAUAGUUUCAGUGGUAAACAUCUCUAUGCUAAUCAUAUCAACUAUACGAUUCAUGCUCGACCUUUCGGUCUCUUGUGUUCCGAGGCCAUGUAUGCACAUGCUAGGCUCGUCAAGUUUAACCCGAGUGUUCCGCGUGUGCAACUGUUUUGCACCCGUUGUACGUGAACGUUGAGUCUAUCACACCCGAUCAUCACGUGGUGUCUCGAAACGACGAACUGUCGCAAUGGUGCACAGUCGGGGAGAAGACAAUUUUAUCUUGAAAUUUUAGUGAGGGAUCACCUUAUAAUGCUACCGUCGUUCUAAGCAAGAUAAGGUGCAUAAAAGUAUUAAUAUCACAUGCAAUUCAUAAGUGACAUGAUAUGGCCAUGAUCUUGUGCUUCGUGAUCUCCAUCACCAAAGCACCGACAUGAUCUUCAUCGUCUCCGGCGCCACACCACGACCUUCAUCAUCAUGAUCUCCAUCAUCGUGCGGCCAUCGAGGUUGUCAUGCUAUCUAUUCUAUUACUACUAAAGCUACAACCUAGCAAUAUAGUAAACUCAUCUGCAAACACAAACGUUAGUUUAAAGACAACCCUAUGGCUCCUGCCGGUUGCCGUAGCAUCGACGUGCAAGUCGAUAUUAACUAUUACAACAUGAUCAUCUCAUACAUCCAAUAUAUCACAUCAUGUCUUUGGCCAUAUCACAUCACAAGCAUACCUUGCAAAAACAAGUUAGACGUCCUCUAAUUUGUUGUUGCAUGUUUUACGUGGCUGCUAUGGGUAUCUAGUAUGAUCGCAUCUUACUUACACAAAAACCACACCGGAGAUGUGCAAAUUUCUAUUUAACCUCUCUCCAAGGACCGCCUCGACCAAAUCCAAUUCAACUAAAGUUGAAGAAACCAACACCCGCCAAUCAUCUUUAUGCAACGAGUUACAUGUUGGUCGAUGAAACCGGUCUCUCGUAAGCGUACGAGUAAUGUUGGUCCGGGCCGCUUCAAUCCAACAAUACCGCCAAAUCGAGAAAAGACUAAGGAGGGCAGCAAAUCAAACAUCAACAUCCACAAAAACCUUUGUGUUCUACUCGAGAUUACAUCUACGCAUGAACCUAGCUCAUGAUGCUACUGUUGGGAAACGUUGCAUAGGAAACAAAAAAAUUCCUACGCACACGAAGACCUAUCAUGGUGAUGUUCAUCUACGAGAGGGAGAUCGGAUCCACAUACCCUUGUAGAUCGCUAAGCGGGAAGCGUUAAGAAAUGUGAUUGAUGUAGUGGUACAACAUCGUGAUUCAAAUCACCGUCGUCCCACGAUCCGUCCCGAUCUAGCACCGAACGGACGGCACCUUCGCGUUCAGCACACGUACAGCUCGAUGACGAUCUUUGCCUUCUUGAUGCAACAAGAUAGACGGGGAAGUAGAUGAGUUAUCCGACAGCGUGACGGCGCGCCGGUGAUGGUGAUGAUCUAUUCCUGCAGGGCUCCGCCCGAGCUCCGCAGAAAUCCGAUCUAGGGGAAGAACUAUGAGGUAUAGGUUUGAGUUGCACGUGGCAAAGUUGUGUCUCAAAAACCCUAAAAUCUCUAGUAUAUAUAGGAGAAGGGGAGGGUCUAGCCUUGGGGAUCAAGGGGGCCCCUAGGGCACCGGCUGAAGUGGAGAGGAGGACUCCAACUCCAAUUCGGUUUGGGAAGGAGGAGUCCUUCUCUCCCUUCCCACCUCCCUCUUUUUUUUCUUUUCUUUUGGUUUUCUUUCCUAGCGCCAUAGCCCACUUGGGCUCGCCUCACCAUCCCACUAAGGGAUGGUGCGCCACCCUAGGACUAUUGGGCUCACUCCUGGGUGGGUGGGCCCCUCCCGGUGAAAACCCGGAACCCAUUCGUCACUCCCGGUACACUGCCGGUAAUGCCCGAAAUCUUUCCGGUGACCAAAUGAAACCAUCCUAUAUAUCAAUCUUCGUUUCCAGACCAUUCCGGAAACCCUCGUGAUGUCCGUGAUCUCAUCCUAUACUCCGAACAACCUUCGGUCACCAACUCCUAUAACUCAACUAUACCUAAACGUCACCGAACCUUAAGUGUGCAGACCCUGCGGGUUCGAGAACUGUGUAGACAUGACCUGAGACACUCCCCGGCCAAUAUCCAAUAGCGGGACCUGGAUGUCCAUAUUGGAUCCUACAUAUUCUACGAAGAUCUUAUCGGUUGAACCUCUGUGCCAAGGAUUCAUAUAACCCCGUAUAACAUUCCCUUUGUCCUUCGGUAUGUUACUUGCCCGAGAUUUGAUCGUCGGUAUCCCUAUACCUAUUUCAAUCUCGUUACUGGCAAGUCUCUUUACUCGUUAUGUAAUACAAGAUCCCAUGACUAACACUUGAGUCACAUUGCUUGCAAGGCUUAUAUGUGAUGUUGUAUUACCGAGUGGGCCCCGAGAUACCUCUCCGUCACACUGAGUGACAAGUCCCAGUCUUGAUCCAUGCUAACUCAAUGGACACCUUCGGAGAUACCUUUAGAGCACCUUUAUAGUCACCCAGUAACGUUGUGAUGUUUGAUACACACAAGGUAUUCCUCCGGUGUCACUGAGUUACAUGAUCUCAUGGUCAUAGGAAUGAAUACUUGACACGCAGAAAACAAUAGCAACAAAAUGACACGAUCACAUGCUACGUUCAUAGUUUGGGUCUUGUCCAUCACAUCAUUCUCCUAAUGAUGUGAUCCAGUUAUCAAGUGACAACACUUGCAUAUGGCCAGAAAACCUUAACCAUCCUUGAUCAACUGGCUAGCCAACUAGAGGCUUACUAGGGACAUUGUUUUGUCUAUCUAUCCACACAUGUAUCUAUGCUUUCAUUCAAUACAAUUAUAGCAUGGAUAAUAAACGAUUAUCUUGAAACAGGAAAUAUAAUAAUAACUAUUUUAUCAUUGCCUCUAGGGCAUAUUUCCAACAGUAUAUACAUCACCUCGUCAUCAGGUGUGUUUGUCGAGAUCCGAUGAAUUGUGGGUUUAUGUUCAGAUUAUCUAUGAAUAUUAUUUGAGUCUUUUAUAAAUUCUUAUAUGAAUGAUUUCAUAUCUUUGCAAGUCUCUUCGAGUUAUUGGUGGGGUUUGGCCAACUAGAUUGGUAAUUCUUGCAAUGGGAGACGUGCUUAGUUUUGGGUUCAAUCUUGCGGUGUCCUCACCAAGUGACAAAGUAGCGGUAGGGAGACACGUAUUUGUAUUGUUGCCAUCGAGGAUAAAUAGAUGGGGUUUUCAUCAUAGUGCUUGAGUUUAUCCAUCUACAUCAUGUCAUCUUACCUAAUGCAUUAGUUUGUUCUGCAUGAACUUAAUACUCUAGAUGCUGGCAGGAGUCGGUCGAUGUGUGGAUUAAUAGUAGUAGAUGCAGAAUUGUUUUGGUCUACUUGACACAGACAUGAUGCCUAUAUGCAUAAUCAUUGUCUUGGAUAUCUUCAUAAUUAUUCACUUUUCUAUCAAUUGCUCGAUAGUAAUUUGUUCACUCACCAUAUUAUUUUCCUUCAUGAGAGAAGCCUCUACUGAAACCUAUGGCUAUAAACCAAAAAUACCAAAAAUAUCUUGUUGCAAUUUAUUUACUUUUUUUUUACUUUUCAUUUCAGCAAGCUUUUAUAUCUAUCUUUAUCGGAUCUCAUCCUUGCAAGUAACCGUGAAGGGAUCGACAACCCCGUUUUAGCGUUGGGUGCAAGUGUUUGAUUUUUUGUGUAGGUGCGAAGAUUGGGGCCUUGCUUGUUCCUCCUACUGGAUUGAUACCUUGGUUCUCAACAAACUGAGGGAAAUACUUAUCUACUUUGCUGCAUCACCCUUUCCUCUUCAAGGGAAAACCAACGCAAGCUCAAGAAGUAGCAUUAUACGGGAUUAAGGGAAUCCUUGACAUAGAGGUUCAACCGAUAGAUAUAUUCAUAGAAUAUGUAGGAUCCAAUGUGGGCAUCCAGGACCCGCUAUUGGAUAUUGACCGAAGAGUCUCUCAGUCAUGUCUGCAUAGUUCUCGAACCCGCAGGGUCUACACACUUUAGGUCCGGUGAUGUUUCGGUAUUAUUGAGUUAUGUAUGUUGGUGACCGAAAGUUGUUCGGAGUCCCGGACGUCACGAGGACCUCCAGAAUGGUUUGGAGGUAAAGAUUGAUAUAUAGGAAAGUUGCACUUGGCUUCCAGAAAGUUCUCGGGCAUUAUCGAUAAAGUACCGGGAGUGACGAAUGGGUUCCAGGGUUUUACCGGGAGGAGCAACCCACCCGGGAGAGGACCUAAUAGGCCUAUAGGUGGUGCACCAGCCCUAGUGGGCUGAUGCGGCCAGCCCAAUAAGCUAUUUCGGCCAAGGUGCAAAAAGAAAGGGAACUUUCAUACCUUUUUACACAUAUUUGGACUAACGUACUAACUCAGUGCACCCAGUGCCAGUUUUGGUCUGCUGAUGUAUUUUUUGCACGGGCUUUUAUCCCAAUUUAUAGAACCCAAAACAUCCCGAGAAAAAUAUAUAAAAAUUAGCGUGACGGAAGCUUAGAGAGGCAUCAAGGUGGCCCAGAAGGGAGCCAAGGCCUGCCCAGGCGGCCUCCCUGCACGGUCUACCCCCUGGCCGCGCCCACAUGUCGCCUGGGUGGGGCCCACCUCCUUUGGUGCCCUACCUUGGCUCCUAUUUUUACCCCCGUGGAGGAAACGCUGAUUCCGGAACCCUUUUCUCCAGAAGCAAUUCCGAUCUCCGCCGCCAUCGCCAAUAAGUUUCGGGGAACUAGAAUUCCAGUGCUGGCGCCCUACGGGGACGGGGAAGUGCCCCCGUAUUCAUCUCCAUCGACGUUUCUUCCUCCCUCCAUGACGCGGGAGUAGUUCCUCCUCGGGGUUGAGGUCUUCUACAAUAGCUAUGUGGUUAAUUCUCUCUCUCAUGAUGUGAUCUUGAUUGUGAUCAUGGGCUAUGUUAAUCUAGGGUGAUCCCAUGAUGUUUCCCCUUCUUCUAUGUAUUGGAUUGACGUACUCACUUGAUCUUAUCUAGUAUAAUCCCCGAGACCAUGGUGACAGCGAUCUAUUGGACAUGGAUUUGAAGAAUAUUUUCAUGAGUGAUUUCCUCUCUUCUGAAUUGAUUGAAGAUUGAGAGUCUCUUGGUGCUUGUCUUUGACUAUCCUUGAGAUACGUCGUGGUGAUUGUGGUACUCUCUUUGGAUGGCCGCGGUGACAUUGGGAAAUCCAUAGAUGACAACUACGAACUCUGUGGUGUGCAUUUGUAGCCCUACAUAAUUCUCUUCCUCUCUUGAUCACAAAGGAAUGACCUCCGAGUACGUCUCCAUUGCAUGUUUUAGUGGAAAUAUCAUGUGAUUAGACUAUGUUAAUGUUGUUGGGAGUUGCCACUAGUGAAAGUAUGAAGCCUAGGCCUUAUUUCACACCAUUGUUACACCGUUUAUGCUCACUUUUUUCACUUGCUAUCUUGCUGUUGUUUUUAUUACAGAUUUAUAUUACCUUGCUUUGCCACACCUAUCACCCAUAUUUUACCAUCUCUUCACCGAACUAGUGCACCUAUACAAUUUACCAUUGUAUUAGGUGUGUUGGGGACACAAGAGACUUCUUGUUUCUUAAUUGCGGGGUUGCUUGAGAGAGACCAUCUUCAACCUCUACUUCCCUGAGUUCGAUAAACCUUACGUCAUCCACUUGAGGGAAAUUGCUACUGUCCUACAAACUCCGGGUUGGAGGCCCAACAUAGUCUACAAGAAUAGAAGCGUGCGUAGACAUCAAGCUAUUUCUCGCGCCGUUGCCGGGGAGGUGAGUGCUUGAAGGUAUAUCUUUAGAUCUUGCAAUUAAAUCUUUUCGUUUCAUGAUUUUAUUUUCACUAGUUAGGCUUAUGGAAAACUGCACUCUUAGUUUGCUGCUUGGGGAAGGCCGCUUUACCACACCCUUGGUAGAGAAGUCUCCUCCACCUAUUGAAUGUAUCCCAUUCAAAAUACCACUUGGGAUAAUUGAAAAUUUUAGGGAUGAUUGUUAUGAUGGAACAGUCAAUCCUAGUAUUCAUUUGUUGAAACUCACAGAACUUUGUGAGUUGUUUAAGAUUUCAGGUUUGACAAGAGAUGGAGUCAUGAGGAAAUUAUUUGCCUUGUCACUAAAAGGAAAAGCAUUGGAAUGGUAUAGGCUACUAGAUGAUUCUCACCUACGGGAUUGGGACGAGAUCCAGUCUCUCUUUUACUCCAAGUUUUAUCCUCUUCAUGAAGUCCAUGAGAAUAGGAAUUAUGUUUAUAAUUUAUAUUCUCAUGACGAAGAGAGCAUAUCUCAAGCUUGGGGGAGACUGAAAACUUUAAUGCUAAAAUGUCCUAACCAUGGGCUCCCCUAAGAUAUGAUUAUUACUAAUUUCUAUGCGAGGCUCUCUCGACAGGACAAAGACUUGCUUGAUGCUUACUCUAUGGGUUCUUUCACAAACGAAAAGAUUGAUGCUAAAUGGGAACUCCUUGAAAGAAUUCAAUGCAAUACUGAAGAUUGGGAGAUCGACAAAGGUAAAGAGCCAGGUAUAAAUUAUGAGUAUGAUUGCAUUAAGGCCUUUGUUGAAACUGCAAUGUUUAAUAAGUUUAGUGCUAAGUCUGGGCUUGAUUCUCAACUCCUUGUUGAUUUCCUCAAAUCUUUUGCUUCACAUCUUAAUAUGCCUAAGGAGAAUUGGAUCAACCAUCAUCAACCUUUUAAAGAGAUCUGCAAGGAAAAUGACAUUGUUAAUGAUAAUUGCAACAUGCAUGAUCCAAUUCCUGAAAGUGAAGUUUUAUAUAAGCAUGUUAAUUUUUGUGGAGUGGAUAGACCUCGUGAAAGGCCUAUGAUUGAAGAAGAGAAGUAUUGUAAGCAACAUAAGCAUGAACGAACAAUCACCUGGGUUAGAGAUUUAAAUGAGAUUCCUAGAGAAUUGUGUGACCUUUAUCCUUUUACUUGUGAACUUUGUGGUAUAUAGGGUCACUUUAAUUUUCAAUGCAUGAACUUUCAAAACAUAACUAUUAACCAGUUGUGUGAUAACAUGAUCACUUCUGAUCUUUAUGAUGAACUUAUGUUAUUUUUGAUGUGUGAAGAGUUAUCAGAAAAAACCUCUUGGCUAGAUGAUAAUGCCUUAGUAAUAAACAACACUUUGCAAAAAUUCCAUCGCUAUUGUGUUGUUAAUUACCAUGAAAAUGAUUACAUAAGUAAGAUUAGAAAGGAGGGAACUUUACCAAAGCAUAAAAAUGUCUCUUAUGUUUCCACUAAUAAAAAGGAGAGUUUCCCCUAUUGUUUCUAAUGAUAAACCGGAAUAUUUGGAGAAGCUUCCUCUCCAACCACUCCCUCCUAAGGUGAAUAAGAAGAAAAAGAAGAGUAGGAAGAGGAACAAGAAGGAAGAAGAAUGGGUAUCAACCUGGCCUGAGCAUAUUCCUUGCAUCACCUCUUAUCCUAACAGACAUAAAUUUAUGGAGGAUGGUGAGCUUGAUUGCAUUCAUUAUUAUCUUGAUGAUAAGUCCAUAGGUACUAUUGACGAUGAUUUUGAUUAUGAUAUACAUGUUACUUAUUGUGAUUGGGAAGAUGAUGAUAAUGCUACUUAUGAUCUUGAAAAUCUUUUUGGUACCAACUUUGAAAAUGAUGAUGUGGAAAGCUCUAAGCUUGGGGAUGAUAGGAUUGCAAGUCCUUUACCCAUUAGUGAUUUUUUAAUUGAUAAUUCUUUUGCUAGUAGGAAUAAAGACAACAUGUUUACAAAUAUAGUUGCUAGCAAUAAUAAUGCUCUUCUCUACCAUGAUGAUGUUAUAACUCCUAUCUAAAGUGACUGUAAAGAUACCUAUGACAUAAGGAGACAUUAUCCAUAUGAAACUUGUAAUAAUCAUGGAGGGAAUUACUCCUUGUUGAACACCAUCUCCCCAAUACACAAUUAAUCUAUAGUGUUCAGGUUGUUUAUGAUAGUCCUACUCCCACGAUUACCAAUGAGAAAGAUUAUGUUUAUGUGGAGAAUAAGAGUACCUUUUUGCAUGUGGAUCAUGGUAACAAUGCUUUAUGUCAUACUUAUAUUGUUGAGUUUAUUCAUGAUCCCACUGAAAAUUAUUACGAGAAGGGAACAUAUGCUUAUAGAUAUUUCAAUAAUAUCAAGUUCCCUCUCUUUAUGUCGAAGGUUUUGAAGCUGCACUUGUUUUGCCUUCCUAUGCUUAUUGUUUUGUGCUUCAAUGAAUUAUUAUAUUGCAAUAUUCCUAUGCAUAAGAAGCAUGUUAGAAUUAAAUGUGUUUGGUAUUUACUUCUAGAUGCUCUCUUUUGUUCUACAACUCUUAUUCCUACGAGAGCAUCAUUAAAAUCUUAAACCUAUCUUUAUGGCUAUAAAGAAAGAGCUCUAGGGAGACAACCCUUGUUAUCAUUACUUUGAGUUUUUCCUUUCAGAUUUUAAUGGUCUUGAUGUGUGUUACUACUAUAGCAACAUCAUUGUAUCUUUAUUUUUAAGCUUUGUGCCAAUUUUUAGCCUCCGAUUGCAAGAAAGUUCAAAAGUUGUGACAUGUUUUCCAGAAAUAGAUUCUGUGUGCUUGACGGAAAAAUUCACCGAAAAUCACCAGAUCAUCGUUUUGAUCUGAAAUAUUUUUAAAUUAUGCUAUAUACAAUUGACUUUCUGGCAUCUGUUCUGAGUUUUUUAAUUUGAGUUGCAUAAGUGCCCUGAAAAAUUAUUUACUACGUGUGUGUCUGUUUUUCACAGAUUCUGCCACGUUUUGCGUUUUCAUCGUUUUGCAAAUCUUAAGCUUGCCUUUUCUUUGCAAAAACUUUUUCGAAAUCUUGAGAAACAGUAGCUUUUCAUGAAAAUCUUUAUUUCAAGUGGAUAAAAAAUAUUUUAUUAUGGGUACUAACCACUCUAAUCAGCUUAUGAUGAGUUCUGUAUGAAGGGAGUUUUCAAGUAUGCGAUGGAAGAUGAUAAAGAAGAUCCAGGAGUGUCAAGCGCUCAAGCUUGGGGAUGCCCUCAUGCACCCCCAAGAAAUAUUCAAGGAGACUCAAGUGUCUAAGCUUGGGGAUGCCCCCGUGCAUCCCCAUCUCCAUCAACAAUCAUCAGUUCGUCCUUCUCCAUACUAUAUUUUUAUCACUUCAUAUGUUAUGUGCUAUGCUUGGAGCGUCCCGCUCUUUAUUUUUUUAGUUUGUUUUAGUUUUUCUUGUUGUUCAUAACAAUUUGGACUCUACCCUUCUUCGUUUGGGGGAGAAACACGCUCCACUCCACCAUAAAGCACAACAUAGGUUUUCAUGCUUAUCUUUUUGUGUGUUCUUUAUCUUUUCUUAGCUGUUGUCAUGCUUAGCUCUUAGUUUUCACGCUUUAUCUUUUUAAGAGCUUUUAUUUAGGUUGCUUUUGGAACUCUCUUGAGUUAUCAUGCUUAUCUUGUUUAGAGAGAUGGCUUGUUGCACUGAGUUGUGUGUCUUGCAUGAGUAGGUAACUGAGGUUGCUAUUUAAGUAUAGUAGUAACUUGCAAUAGUUUUGAGGUAUUGAUUUAAGCAAUGUUUGGACUAUUGGUGCAAAGAUCUUGAGCCUAUUAGUGAUAGGUGUCGUAUUUUGGGAAAUUCGUGAGUUUUUCAAAACUAAAAAAAAUAGUUGAGAACUCUAGCUACUAGAUGGAUCGUUAACCUUAGGAGGGGUUGGAAUAUAUAGAGUACCCUCACGUUAUCAUGGGCCGAGGAUGCGCAAGGAUAACCAAACUCCCAAACAAUCCUCCUCUAGGUACUUGUCUCUUUGUGAAUCUCCUGACUAGAUAGAGAGUUACCGUUAAUAAGUGCAUGAGUUCUUCGGACUAAUGUGAGUAUUGAUUGUUGGCACUUUCACCAUCCAUAUUUUGCAAGCCUCUUUGGUACCAUGCAUUGCCCUUUCUCAUCUUGAGAGUUGGUGCAAACUUCGCCGGUGCAUACAAACCCUUGGCCUGAUACGCUCUGUCAUCAUAAGCCUCAUUAUAUAUUUCCUCAAAACAGCCACCAUACCUACCUAUUAAGGCAUUUCCAUAGCCUUUCCGAGAUACAUUGCCAUGCAACAUCCACCAUCUCAUGACUUGAUCUUCAUGUCAUACAUGUUUUUGCAUGAUCGAGGAGCCUCAUACUAGUUGGGCCUUGCCCUUAUUAUUGCUACGUGAUGCACUAGUUUCAUUGCAUAUCCUGCUACACCCGCAGAGGCAUACAUUUGCAUACAUCAUGAUAGUUUUCAUUUGUCUCUAUGUUUAGUACUUCUUAUAAGUGUGAAGAUUUUCUUUUUAUUCUUGUAAAACAUAGAGUGUUGCCCUUAAGUGGGGAAAAGAUCCCAAAGAGGACAAAUUGAAAGAUCCCAAAGAGGACACAUGAAAAGAUCCCAAAGAGGACAAUGAUAGAUAAAAAGAAAGAGCCAAAGAGGCCACAAAAAAAAGAGAAGGGGGCAACACUACUAUUCCUUUUGAAAGAUCCACACUCGUACUCCAUUGUUAUAUUUGUACUCCAUAGAGAUUAUCAUUCAUGCAUAACUAUGUGGGGUCCCUUACACUAUAGAACUUGGCUUGUAUAUUCCAAUGAUGAGCCUCCUCAAAUGAGCUCUAGGUCUUCAUGAGCAAUCAAAUUUGAUGCAACCCCACUAGUUCCAUUGGAGAGCUUACCUUAGCUCAUAUGUGCAUCUGUUGCAUGGCAAUCCCUACUCCUCACAUCAUAUCUAUCAUUUGGCUUUCUCUCGCCUAUGGUUGUCCUCAUUGAUGUGAGCCUUUCACACAUUUUUGUCUUCCUUCCCCAUCAUUAUUCUAUUUGCCAUCCUAAGUGCCAACAUAUCUUGCUUGCGCUCAUCCAUUGCAUGAGUGCUCAAAGUCGAAAGGGAGAGGAUAAUUUUGACUUGUGCCUGACUAGUGGUCUGGGGAUGAGUCAAAAUAAGAUUCCGAAGGAGACCAAGUGUGAAGUUCUAGUAGACUGAGUUCUCAAUUAAAAUAUUUUUAUGCUCUAAACCCAUCUCCCACUUCUUGCCCGCAAACACCAUUUGGAGAUGUUCAAGUCAUGGACAUCGAGAGCUCUUGCACCUUUAUGUUCUUUGCUAUUUUCAAUACUAAAUAUAGACUCUUGCUUGUUAUUGUCUUGACUUGAAUUGCAUACCUUACUUGCUUUACUUUGAAGUUCUAAUAUGUGUGUUAGCAUGCCACCACAACAACUAUUUGUGUUAUCGUUUACCUACUCAAGGACGAGCAGGAAUUAAGCUUGGGGAUGUUGAUACGUCCCAAACGUAUCUAUGGUUUCUGUUUGGUCCAUGAUCUUUUGGGUGACAUUGUUAUACGUUUUGCUACAUUUUCAAACCUUUUUACACAUAUUUGGACUAACCUACUGAUAAGUCCAUUUUGCAUCAUGCUUUCAUGUUGAUAUUUAUCACUUUAUGGGCUGUUAUUACACUUCACGGUACAAUACUUAUACCUUUUCUCUCUUAUUUUGCAAGGUUUACAUGAAGAGGGAGAAUGCCGACACCUGGAAUUUUGGCCUAAAAAGGAGCAAGUUUGAGAUACCUAUUCUGCGCAACUCCAAGAGCCGUGAAAAUCAACGAGGAUUUAUUUUGGAAUUUAUAAAAAAUACUGGGCCGAAGAAUUACCAGAGGGGAGCCAGUAGGAGGCCACAAGUCUGCUAGGCGCGGCCUACCACACUGGCUGCGCCUAGGGGGCUUGUGGGCUCCCAUCUGGCCCUAUGGACCCCUCUUUUGCUAUAAGGAGGUUUUUGUUCCGGAAAAAAAAUCAAGAGGAGGCUUUUGGGAGGAAUCGCCGCCGCCACGAGGCGGAACUUGAGCAGAACCAAUCUAGAGCUCCGGCAGGGUCGUCCUGCCGGGGAAACCUCCCUCCCGGAGGGGGAAAUCGUCGCCAUCGUCAUCACCAACACUCCUCUCAUCAGAGGGGACUCAUCACCAUCAACAUCUUCAUUAGCACCAUCUCAUCUCUAAACCCUAGUUCAUCUCUUGUAACCAAUCUCCGUCUCGCGACUCAGAUUGGUACUUGUAAGGUUGCUAGUCGUGUUAAUUACUCUUUGUAGUUGAUGCUAGUUGGAUUACUCGGUGGAAGAUUAUAUGUUCAGAUCCUUGAUGCUAUUCAAUACCUCUCUGGUCAUGAAUAUUAUUAUGCUUUGUGAGUAGUUACUUUUGUUCCCGAGGACAUGGGAUAAGUCAUGCUAUAAGUAGUCAUGUGAUUUUGGUAUUCAUUCGAUAUUUUGAUGUGUUGUAUGUUGUCUCUCCUCUAGUGGUGUUAUGUGAACGUCGACUACAUAACACUUCACCAUUAUUUGGGCCUAGAGGAAGGCAUUGGGAAGUACUAAGUAGAUGAUGGGUUACUAGAGUGACAGAAGGUUAAACCCUAGUUUAUGCGUUGCUUCGCAAGGGGCUGAUUUGGAUCCACUAGUUUAAUGCUAUGGUUAGACUUUGUCUUAAUUCUGCUUUCGUAGUUGCGUAUGCUUGCGAGAGGGGUUAAUCAUAAGUGGGAUGCUUGUCCAAGUAAGGGCAGUACCCAAGCGCCAGUCCACCCACCUAUCAAACUAUCAAAGUAGCGAACGCGAAUCAUAUGAACAUGAUGAAAACUAGCUUGACAGAAAUUCCCAUGUGUCCUCGGGAGCGCUUUACCUCCUAUAAGAGUUUGUCCAGGCUUGUACCUUGCUACAAAAGGGAUUGGGCCACUUUGCUGCACCGUUGUUAAUUUUGUUACUUGCUACUUGCUACGAAUCAUCUUACCACACAACUACUUGUUACCGAUAAUUUCAGUGUCUGCAAAGAAUACCUUGCUGAAAACCACUUGUCAGAUCCUUAUGCUCCUCAUUGGGUUCGACACUCUAACUUAUCGAAAGGACUAGAUAGAUCACCUAUACGUGUGGGUCAUAAAGACUCUUUUCUGGCGCCGUUGCCGGGGAGUGAAACGCCUUUGGUAAGUGGAAUUUGGUAAGCAAACAUUUAUAUAGUGUGCUGAAAUUUAUUGUCACUUGUCACUAUGGAAACUAAUCCUUUGAGGAGCUUGUUCGGGGUAUCUUCACCUCGAACGGAAGCACAAAGAGUUGCUCCUCAACCUGCUGCACCUACUGAAAAUAUUUGCUAUGAAUUUCCUUUAGGUAUGCUUGAGAAACUGCUGGCUAAUCCUUUUACAGGAGAUGGAACAUCACAUCCCGACUUGAAUCUAAUCUAUGUAGAUGAAGUUUGUGGUUUAUUUAAGCUUGCAGGUUUUCCCGAGGAUGAGGUCAAGAAGAAGGUCUUUCCUUAUCUUAGAGGGAUAGAGCAUUGACAUGGUAUAGUCUAUGUGAUGAUACUGGAUCAUGGAACUACAACCGGGUGAAAUUGGAAUUUCAUCAAAAGUUUUAUCCUAUGCAUCUAGUACAUUGUGAUCGGAAUUAUAUUUAUAAUUUUUGGCCUCGUGACAGAGAAAGCAUCGCUCAAGCUUGGGGAAGGCUUAAAUCAAUGUUAUAUUCAUGCCCCAACCAUGAGCUCUCGAGAGAAAUUAUCAUUCAGAACUUCUAUGCUCGGCUUUCUCAUGAUGAUCACACCAUGCUUGACACUUCUUGUACCAGUUCUUUUAUGAAGAGAGAUAUUGACUUCAAAUGGAAUUUAUUGGAAAGAAUUAAACGCAACUUUGAAGAUUGGGAGUUUGAUGAAGGUAAGGAGUCAGGUAUGAAUUUCAAGUUUGAUUGCGUUAAAUCCUUUGUUGAAACAAAUACUUUUUGUGAUUUUAGCACUAAAUAUGGACUUGACUCUGAGAUAGUAGCUUCAUUGUGUGAAUCAUUUGCUGCUCAUAUUGAUCUCCCUAAAGAGAAGUGGUUUAAAUAUCAUCCUCCCUUAGAAGUCAAUGUAGUUAAACCCAAUCCAGUUGAAGAGAAAGUCAUUGCCUAUAAUGAUCCUGUUGUUCCCAGUGCUUACAUUGAGAAACCACCUUUCCCUGUUAGGAUAAAGGAUCAUUCUAAAGUUUCAACUGUGAUACGUAGGGGCUACAUUAGAACACCUACACCCCCUGAGCAAAUUAGAGUUGAACCUACCAUUGCUAUUAUCAAAGAUCUCCUGUCUGACGAUGUUGAGGGACAUGAUAUUCACUUCUAUGAAGAUGCUGCUAGAAUUGCUAAACCUCAUGCUAGAGACAAACAUAGGCCUGUUGUUGGCACGCCUGUUGUUUCUGUUAAGAUAGGAGAUCAUUGCUAUCAUGGUUUAUGUGACGUGGGUGCUAGUGUUAGUGCAAUACCUCAAUCCUUAUAUGAUGAAAUUAAAUACGAGAUUGCACCUAUUGAGAUGGAACCUAUUGAUGUCACUAUUCAGCUUGCCAAUAGAGAUACUAUCUGCCCUUUGGGAAUUGUUAGAGAUGUUGAAGUCUUGUGUGGUAAAACGAAGUAUCCUGCUAAUUUUCUCGUUCUUGCUACCACACAAGAUAGCUUUUGUCCCGUCAUAUUUGGCAGACCCUUCCUCAAUAUUGUCAAUGCUCAUAUUGACUGUGAGAAGCAAACUGUCACGGUUGGCUUUGAAGGUGUGUCACAUGAGUUCAAUUUCUCCAAGUUUGGUAGACAACCUCAUGAAAAAUAGUUGCCUAGUAAGGAUGAAAUUAUUGCCCUAUCUUCUAUUGCCGUUCCUCCUACUGAUACUUUAGAGCAAUACUUGCUUGAGCAUGAAAAUGAUAUGCAUAUGGAUGAAAGGGAUGAGAUAAAUAGAGUUAUCUUUGAACAAUAUCCUAUCCUUAAGAAUAAUUUGCCUGUUGAAUUGCUUGGAGAUCCACCCCCACCAAAGGGUGAUCCUGUGUUCGAGCUUAAACAGUUGCCUGAUACUCUUAAGUACGCUUAUCUUGAUGAAAAAGAGAUAUAUCAUGUUAUUAUUAGUGCUAGCCUCUCAGAGCAUGAAGAAAAGAAGUUACUAAAAACUCUGAGGAAGCACCGUGCUGCUAUUGGAUAUACUCUUGAUGAUCUUAAGGGCAUUAGUCCGACUCUAUGCCAGCACAAGAUUAAAACCGAUCCUGAUUCCAAACCAGUUGUCGAUCAUCAACGGAGAUUAAAUCCUAAGAUGAAAGAGGUAGUAAGAAAAGAAAUACUCAAGCUCCUGGAAGCAAGUAUUAUCUAUCCUGUUGCUCAUAGUGAUUGGGUAAGUCCAGUGCAUUUCGUCCCUAAGAAGGAAGGUAUUACCGUUGUCCCUAAUGACAAGGAUGAAUUGAUCCCACAGAGGAUUAUUACUGGCUAUAGGAUGGUGAUGGAUUUUAGGAAAUUGAAUAAAGCCACUAGGAAAGAUCAUUACCCUUUGCCUUUUAUCGACCAAAUGCUAGAAAGACUGUCUAAACACACACACUUCUGCUUUCUAGAUGGUUAUUCUGGUUUCUCCCAAAUACCACUUGCACAAUCUGACCAGGAGAAAACCACUUUCAUCUGCCCUUUCGGUACCUUUGCUUAUAGACGUAUGCCUUUUGGCUUAUGUAAUGCACCUGCCACCUUUCAAAGAUGUAUGAUGGCUAUAUUCUCUGACUUUUGUGAAAAGAUUGUUGAGGUUUUCAUGGACGACUUCUCCAUUUAUGGGUCUUCUUUUGAUGAUUGCCUCAGCAACCUUGAUCGAGUUUUGCAUAGAUGUAAAGAUAUCAAUCUUGUCUUGAAUUGGGAGAAGUGCCACUUUAUGGUUAAUGAAGGCAUCUUAUUAGGACAUAAAAUUUCUGAAAGAGGUAUUGAAGUCGAUAAGGCUAUGGUUGAUGCGAUCGAGAAAAUGCCAUGCCCCACAGAUAUCAAAGGUAUAAGAAGUUUCCUUGGUCAUGCUGGUUUCUAUAGAAGGUUCAUUCAAGACUUCUCUAAGAUUUCUAGGCCUCUUACCAAUCUCUUGCAAAAGGAUAUUCCUUUUGUUUUUGACGAUGAUUGUGAGGAAGCCUUCGAAAUACUUAAGAAGGCCUUGAUAACUGCACCUAUUGUUCAACCACCUGAUUGGAACUUACCUUUUGAAAUCAUGUGUGAUGCUAGUGAUUAUGCUGUUGGUUCUGUCCUAGGACAAAGAGUUAAUAAGAAGUUGAAUGUUAUUCACUAUGAUAGUAAAACUCUAGGCAGUGCCCAAAGGAACUAUGCUACUACUGAAAAGGAAUUUUUAGCACUCGUGUUUGCAUGUGAAAAGUUCAGAUCUUACAUAGUUGAUUCCAAAGUCACUAUUCACACUGAUCACGCUGCUAUUAAGUACAUCAUGGAAAAGAAAGACGCUAAACCUAGACUUAUCAGAUGGGUUCUCUUGCUACAAGAAUUUGAUUUGCAUGUUGUCGAUAGGAAGGGUGCUCAGAACCCAGUAGCAGAUAACUUGUCUAGGUUGGAUAAAGUUCUUGAUGACCCACAACCUAUUGAUGAUAGCUUUCCUGAUGAGCAACUGAAUGUCAUCAAUACCUCACGUAGUACACCGUGGUAUGCUGAUUAUGCAAAUUAUAUCUUUGCCAAACAUAUACCACCUAGUUUCACAUACCAGCAAAAUAAGAAAUUCUUCUUUGAUUUGAGACAUUACUUCUGGGAUGAUCCUCACCUUUAUAAGGAAGGAGUAGAUGGUGUUAUUAGAUGUUGUGUACCUGAACAUGAACAGGGACGGAUCCUACAAAAGUGUCACUCCGAGGCCUACGGAGGACACCAUGCGGGAGGUAGAACUACACACAAGGUAUUGCAAUCCGGUUUCUAUUGGCCCACUCUCUUCAAGGAUGCCCGUAAGUUUGUCUUGUCCUGUGAUGAAUGCCGAAGAAUAGGUAAUAUCAGUAAACGUCAGGAAAUGCCUAUGAACUAUUCACUUGUCAUUGAACCAUUUGAUGUUUGGGGCUUUGAUUAUAUGGGGCCCUUUCCAAAAUCCAACGGGUAUACUCACAUCCUAGUUGCUGUUGAUUACGUUACUAAGUAGGUAGAAGCUAUCCCAACUAGUAGUGCUGAUCACAACACCUCUAUGGGGAUGCUUAAAGAAGUUAUUUUCCCCAGAUUUGGAGUCCCUAGAUAUCUAAUGACCGAUGGUGGUUCACAUUUCAUUCAUGGUGAUUCCCGUAAAACGCUUGCUAAGUACGAUGUCAAUCAUAGAAUUGCAUCUCCCUAUCACCCUCAGUCCAGUGGUCAAGUAGAGCUAAGCAAUAGAGAGAUUAAACUAAUCCUGCAAAAGACUGUCAAUAGGUCUAGAAAGAAUUGGUCUAAGAAGCUCGAUGAUGCACUGUGGGCUUAUAGAACUGCUUAUAAGGAUCCCAUGGGCAUGUCUCUGUACAAAAUGGUUUACGGUAAAGCAUGUCAUUUACCUCUUGAGCUAGAGUAUAAGGCUCAUUGGGCAAUCAAAGAGCUCAACUUUGAUUUCAAACUUGCUGGUGAGAAGAGGUUAUUUGAUAUUAGCUCGCUUGAUGAAUGGAGAGCCCAGGCAUAUGAAAAUGCCAAGUUGUUCAAAGAAAAUGUUAAGAGGUGGCAUGAUAAAAGGAUACAGAAACGUGAGUUCAAUGUAGGUGAUUAUGUCUUGCUAUUUAAUUCUCGUUUAAGAUUUUUUGUACGCAAGUUUCUCUCUAAAUAGGAAGGUCCUUACAUUGUUGAGGAAGUAUAUUGUUCUGGUGCCAUCAAGAUCAACAACACGGAAGGUAAUUUUCCGAGAGUGGUAAAUAGGCAAUGAAUCAAGCAUUAUAUCUGAGGUACUCCCAUAAAUGUUGAAAGCAAUAUUAUCAAUACCAUAACUCCGGAGGAGUACAUAAGAGAUAUUUAUCAGCCCGUUUCAGACUCUGAAAACGAAGAGGUAUGUGAUUCGGUAAGUAAACCGACUCCAAAACUUUUCCAGUAGGAAUUUUUCUCUGUUUUGCAAUUUUUAGAAAAUUAGAAAAAUUUAAAGCAGUCCGGAGAGCGUACAAGGAGGCGACAAGCCUUCCUGGCGCGAGCCACCCCCCUGGCCGCGCCUGGGGGGCUUGUGACCACCUCAUGUGCCUCCCGGACUCCGUUUUCUUGCGGAGUACUCCUUCUGGUCGGAAAAAAAUCAUUAUAUAUUUUCCCGAAAGGUCUAACCCUCGUAUCACGCAAAUUACACUGUGUUUUCGUUUCGAGCCUGUUUCUGCCGCAGAUUUAGAGCAAGAUGUCGUCUCAGGAAUAUGUAUGGGAGAACGAUCUCCCUCAAGUCUCUGAAGACGUAAAUGCUGAUCUGAAAAGAAUGGAGGCCAAGGAAAGGCUACCUGAAGAAACUAAGGGCAAAAAUAAGGAGAAGAAUCCGGCGUUGGACGAAGGGCAAUGUGUGCUCAACAAGGAAGAAGCUGAGGAAGAGGAUUUACUUCAACCCUACCUCCACCUUUUACCUCCAUCCUUGAUCGAGCUCUUGAGAUUAUGUGAAAUAACUCGUGUUCAUAAUACUUAUCUUACCCGUGAAGUUGUUUUGCUGGAGAAACAUAUCACAGAACUCCAAGGUAUAAAUCAAAGAUUGAUGGCCCUCUUGGAAUCAAAAGACAAGACAACUCCACCACCAUCACCUCCGAAGGAAGACAACUAAACACGGGUAUGGGCAAUCCCCUUGGCUUGUGACAAGCUUGGGGGAGUUGCCUCGGUAUCGUAUCAUCAUCACAUCUUUUGCCUUUACCUUUUCUUAGUUUAAUACUUUUUUGUUUUAUCUUUCUCUAGUAGAAUAAAGUUCUUAGCGUUUUAGGUUUGAGUUUUGCUUUGUGUAACCCCCGAUGUAUUCGACUUCGUGAUUCAUAUAAUAAAGAGUGUUUUAGUUAAGGGCCUUGCUUCAUGCCAUGAUCUAAAGAAAAGAAUGAUAAAAGAACAAAAGCAUGAAAGAUCAUGUAAUGAUCUUAUGGGAAGUGAUGACUUCACAUAUAAAAAGAAUGUUGAUUGAAACUUGUUGUGGGUGGACAAACGUAGACCUUGGUCAUUGCUGCAAUUAAUAGGAAGUAAUAAAGAAAGAGAGGUUCACAUAUAAAUAUAUCAUCUUGGGCACCAUCUAUGAUUGUGAACACUCACUAAACUAUUACAUGCUAAGUAGUAGAUGUUGGACAAGGAAGACAACAUAAUGAAUUAUGUUUGCUUGGUUCCGAACAAUGUUAUAUGACUAGAUAUCCCUUAGCAUGUGACGAUUGCUUCCACCUCAUAUCAGCCAAAACUCCCGCACCAAGUAGAGAUACUACUUGUGCAUCCGUAAACCUUCAACCCAGUUUUGCCAUGAGAGUCCACCAUACCUACCUAUGGAUUGAAUAAUAUCCCUCAAGUAAGUUUUCAUCGGUGCAAGCUAUAAAAAUUGAUUCCUAAAUAUGUAUGAUAUACUAGUGUGUGGAAAAUAAGGUUUGUACGAACCUGUGAUUAGGAAGACAUAAAAGCGACAGACUGCAUAAUAAAGUUCUUUAUCACAGGAGGCAAUAUAAAGUGACGUUCCUUCACACUAAAAGGACACACAUCCAAACCUCAAAAGCGCAUGACAACCUCUGCUUCCCUCUUCGAAGGGCCUAUCUUGUACCUUUACUUUUUUCCCUUGAAAGAGUCAUGGUGAUCUACACCAAUUCCUUAUUUCGCCUUUUUCUUGGCUAACGUCAUAUGCUAGGGAAAGAUCUAUAUUCAUAUAUCAACUUGGAAGUAAGUGUUCAUGAAUAAUUAUUGUUGACAUUACCCUUGAGGCAAAUGGCUGGGAGGCGAAACUAUAAGCCCCUAUCUUUCUCUGUGUCCAACUGAAACUUUGAUCUCAUGAGUACCACGUGAGUUGUAGCAAUUGUAGAAGACAAAAGGAUGAUUGAGUAUGUGGAUUUGCUUUACAAGCUCUUACUUGACUCUUUCUGAUGUUAUGAUAAAUUGCAAUUGCUUCAAUGACUAAAGGCUAUUGGUUGUUAAUUCUUAGUAAGGUUUUUGAUCCAUACUUUACUUUGUGAAGGAAUUGUCACUUUAGCAUGAGAGAUUAUGUGAUGAUAUUGUUGUUCUGAUUAUGAUCAUGAUGCCUGCAUGUCCAUAUCUUGUUUUGUCGACACCUCUCUCUCUAAACAUGUGGGUAUAUUUAUUGAUCUCGGCUUUCGCUUGAGGACAAGCGAGGUCUAAGCAUGGGGGAGUUUAUACGUCCAUUUUGCAUCAUGCUUUCAUGUUGAUAGUUAUUGCUUUAUGGGCUCUUAUUACACUUCACGGUACAAUACUUAUGCCUUUUCUCUCUUAUUUUGCAAGGUUUGUAUGAAGAGGGAGAAUGCCGACAGCUGGAAUUCUGGCCUGAAAAAGGAGCAAGUUUGAGAUACCUAUUCUUCGCAACUCCAGAAGUCGUGAAAAUCAACGAGGAUUUAUUUUGGAAUUAAUAAAAAUACUGGGCCGAAGAAGUACCAGAGGGGAGCCAGCAGGAGACCACAAGCCUCCUAGGCGCGGCCUACCCCCCUGGCCGCGCCUAGAGGGCUUGUGGGCUCCCAGCUGGCCCUUUGGCCCCCCCUCUUUUCCUAUAAGGAGGGUUUCCUUCUGGAAAAAAAUAAAGAGGAGGCUUUCGGGAGGAAUCGCCACCGCCACGAGGCGGAACUUGAGCAGAACCUAUCUAGAGCUCCGGCACGGUCGUCCUGUCGGGGAAACUUCCCUCCCGAAGGGGGAAAUCAUCACCAUUGUCAUCACCAACACUCCUCUCAUCGGAGGGGACUCAUCACCAUCAACAUCUUCAUCAGCACCAUCUCAUCUCCAAACCAUAGUUCAUCUCUUGUAACCAAUCUCCGUCUCGCGACUCCGAUUUGUACUUGUAAGGUUGCUAGUAGUGUUAAUUACUCUUUGUAGUUGAUGCUAGUUGGAUUACUUGGUGGAAGAUUAUAUGUUCAGAUCCUUGAUGCUAUUCAAUACCACUCUAGUCAUGAAUAUGAUUAUGCUUUGUGAGUAGUUACUUUUGUUCCUGAGGACAUGAGAUAAGUCAUGCUAUGAGUAGUCAUGUGAAUUUGGUAUUCGUUCGAUAUUUUGAUGUGUUGUAUGUUGACUCUCCUCUAGUGGCGUUAUGUGAACGUCUGAUGACCCACAAGUAUCGGGGAUCAAUCAUAGUCCUUUCGAUAAGUAAGAGUGUCGAACCCAAUGAGGAGCAGAAGGCUCUGGUAAACAGUUUUCAGCAAGGUAAUAACUGCAGGCAGUGAAAGUAGCGGUAACAAGUGAUGGUGUAGUGAGGUAAAACGUAGCAAGCGAAAAGUAACAAGUAAAAAGUAGUAGCAAUGGUGCAGCAAGUGGCCCAAUCCCGUUUGUAGCAAGGGACAAGCCUGAACAAAGUCUUACAGGAGGAAAAACGCUCCCGAGGACACACGGGAAUUUCUGUCAUGCCAGUUUCAUCGUGUUCAUAUGAUUCACGUUCGUUACUUUCAUAGUUUGAUAUGUGGGUGGACUGGCGCUUGGGUACUGCCCUUACUUGGACAAGCAUCCCACUUAUGAUUAACCCCUCUCGAAAGCAUUCGCAACUAAGAAAGAAGAAUUAAGACAACGUCUAACCAUAGCAUUAAACUAGUGGAUCCAAAUCAGCCCCUUACGAAGCAAUGCAUAGAUUGGGGUUUAAGCUUCUGUCACUCCAGCAACCCAUCAUCUACUUACUACUCCCCAAUGCCUUCCUCUAGGCCCAAAUAUGGUGAAGUGUUAUGUAGUCGACGUUCACAUAACACCACUAGAGGAAAAACAACAUACAACAUAUCAAAAUACCGAACGGAUAUCAAAUUCACAUGACUAUUAUUAACAUGACUUAUCCCAUGUCCUCAGGGACAAAAGUAACUACUCACAAAGCAUAAUCAUAAUCAUGAUCAGAGGUGUAAUUAAUAGCAUCAAGGAUCUGAACAUAAACUCUUCCACCAAGUAAUCCAACUAGCAUCAACUACAAAGAGUAAUCAACACUACUAGUAACCUUACAAGUACCAAUUGGAGUCGUGAGACGGAGAUUGGUUACAAGAGAUGAACUAGGGAUUGGAGAGGAGAUGGUGCUGAUGAAGAUGCCUCCCCUCCGACGAGAGGACUGUUGGUGAUGACGAUGGCGAUGAUUUGCCCCUCUGGGAGGGAAGUUUCCCCGGCAGGAUCGUCCUGCCGGAGCUCUAGAUUGGACGUGCUCAAGUUCCGCCUUGUGGCGGCGGCGAAACCACGAAAAAGCUCCCGGUUGACUUUUUCUGGAACGAAACCCAUCAUAUAGCAAAAGAGGGGGGGCUAGUGGGCCGUCAGGGAGCCCACAAGCUUGCCAUCCGCCACCAGGGGGUGGCGGUGGCAGGGCUUGUGGCGCCCUGGUAGCCCCCCUCCGGUACUUCUUUCGCCCAGUAUUUUUUAUAUAAUCCCAAAGAAUUCCACGUAAAUUUUCAGGGCAUUUGGAGAUGUGCAUAAUAGUGGACUAAGAUUUGCUCCUUUUCUAGUCCAGAAUUCCAGCUGCCUGAAUUCUCCCUCUUCAAAUAAACCUUGCAAAAUAAGAGAGAAAAGGCAUAAAUAUGGUACCACAAAGUAAUAUAACAACCCAUAAAGCAAUAAAUAUCAACAUGAAAGCAUGAUGCAAAAUGGACGUAUCAAUGUCGACUACAUAACACUUCACCAUUAUUUGGGCCUAGAGGAAGGCAUUGGGAAGUAGUAAGUAGAUGAUGGGUUGCUAGAGUGAUAGAAGCUUAAACCCUAGUUUAUGCGUUGCUUCGCAAGGGGCUGAUUUGGAUCCACUAGUUUAAUGCUAUGGUUAGACUUUGUCUUAAUUUUUCUUUCGUAGUUGCGGAUGCUUGCGAGAGGGGUUAAUCAUAAGUGGGAUGCUUGUACAAGUAAGGGAAGUACCCAAGCGCCGGUCCACCCACCUAUCAAANGAGACCAUGGUGACAGCGGUCUAUAGGACAUGGAUUAGAAGAAUAUUUACAUGAGUGAUUUCCUCUUUUCUGAAUUGAUUGAAGAUUGAGAGUCUCUUGGUGCUUGUCUUUGACUAUCCUUGAGAUACGUUGUGGUGAUUGUGGUACUCUUUUUGGAUGGCCGCGGUGACAUUGGGAAAUCCAUAGAUGAGAACUACAAACUCUGAGGUGUGCUAUUGUAGCCCUACAUAAUUCUCGUCCUCUCUUGAUCACAAUGGAAUGACCUCCGAGUACGUCUCCAUUGCAUGUUUUAGUGGAAAUAUCAUGUGAUUAGACUAUGUUAAUGUUGUUGGGAGUUUCCACUAGUGAAAGUAUGGAGCCUAGGCCUUGUUUCUCACCAUUGUUACACCGUUUGUGCUCACUUUUGUCACUUGCUACCUUGCUGUAAUUUUUAUUACAGAUUUAUAUUACCUUGCUUUGCCACACCUAUCACCCAUAUUUUACCAUCUCUUCGCCGAACUAGUGCACCUAUACAAUUUACCAUUGUAUUAGGUGUGUUGGGGACACAAGAGACUUCUCGUUUCUUAAUUGCAGGGUUGCUUGAGAGAGACCAUCUUCACCCUCUACUUCCCUGAGUUCGAUAAACCAUAGGUCAUCCACUUGAGGGAAAUUGCUUCUAUCCUACAAACCUCUGUGCUUGGAGGUCUACAAGAAUAGAAGCGUGCAUAGACAUCACAGCACAAUGAUGGAGAUCAUGGUGCGACGCCGGUGACGAUGGAGAUCAUGUCGGUGCUUCGGCGAUGGAGAUCAAGAAGCACAAGAUCAUGGCCAUAUCAUGUCACUUAUGAUUUGCAUGUGAUGUUAAUUCUUUUAUGCACCUUAUUUUGCUUAGGAUGACGGUUGCAUUAUAAGGUGAUCCAUCACUAAAAUUUCAAGAUAAAAUUGUGUUCUCCCCGACUGUGCACCGUUGCGAGUUCGUCGUUUCAAGACACCACGUGAUGAUCGGGUGUGAUAGACUCUACAUUCAUAUACAACGGGUGCAAAACAGUUGCGCACGCGGAACACUCGGGUUAAACUUGAUGAGCCUAGCAUGUAUAGACAUGGCCUCGGAACACAAGAGACCGAAAAGUCGAGCAUGAAUCAUAUAGUUGAUAUGAUCAACAUGGAGAUGUUCACCAUUGAAACUAAUCUCGACUCACGUGAUGAUAAAACUUGAGUUAGUGGAUUUGGAUCGUGCGCCAAUCGAAUAACUAGAGGGAUGUCUAUUUGAGUGGGAGUUAUUAAGUAAUAUGAUUAACUAAACUCAUUAUCAUCAACAUAGUCAAGAUGUCUUUGCAAAUUAUGUUAUAGCUUGCGUUGUAGCUCUACUAUUUUUGAUAUGUUCCUAUAAAAAAAUUAGUUCAAAGAUGAUAGUAUCAAUUAUACGGACUGGGUCCGUAAACUGAGGAUUGUCCUCAUUGCUGCACAGAAGGCUUAUGUCCAUAUUGCACCGCUCGGUGUGCUGAACCCCGAACAUCGUCUGUAGAUGUUGCGAUCAUCUGACAUACACGUUUUUGAUGACUACAUGAUAGUUCGGUGCAUAAUGCUUGAACGACUUAGAGUUGAGGCGCCGAAGACGUUUCGAACUUCACGGGACAUAUGAGAUGUUCCAAUAGAUGAAAUUCGGAUUUUAGGCUCAUGCCCGUGUUGAGAGGUAUAAGACCUCCGACAAGAUUCUUUGUGUACAAAGUAAGGGAGAAAAGCUCAAUCGUUGAGCAUGUUCUCAGAUUGUCUCGGUACUACAAUCGCUUGAAUCGAGUGGGAGUUGAUCUUCCAGAUAAGAUAGUGAUUGACAUAGUUCUCCAAAGUCACUGCCACCAAGCUACAGAGCUUCGUGAUGAACUAUAACAUAUCAGGGAUAGAGAUGAUGAUCCUUGAGCUAUUUGUGAUGUUUGACACCGCAAAGGUAGAAAUCAAGUAGGAGCAUCAAGUGUUGAUGGUUAGUAGAACCACUAGUUUCGAGAAGGCUAAGGGUUGAAAGGGAUACUUUAUGAAAUGGCAAACCAGUUGUCACUCUAGUAAAGAAACCCAAGGUUGAACCCAAACCUGAGACUAAGUGCUUCUAUUAUCAGGGGAAUGGUCACUGAAGCGGAGCAACCCUAAUUACUUGGUAGAUGAGAAGGCUGGCAAAGUCAACAAAAGUAUAUUGGAUAUACAUGAUUUUUAUGUGUACUUUCCUAGUACUCCUAGUAGCACACGGGCAUUAGAUACCGGUUCGGUUGCUAAGUGUUAGUAACUCGAAAUAAAAGUUGCGGAAUAAACGGAGACUAGCUAAAGGCGAGGUGACGAUGUGUGUUGGAAGUGUUUCCAAGGUUGAUGUGAUCAACAUCGCACACUCCCUCUGCCAUCGGGAUUAGUGUUGAACCUAAAUAAAUAUUAUUUGGUGUUUGUGUUGAGCAUGAACAUGAUUGGAGCGUGUUUAUUGUAAUACGGUUAUUCAUUUAAGUUAGAGAAUAAAAGUUGUUCUAUUUACAUGAAUGAUACCUUCAAUGGUCAUGCACCAAUGUGAAUGGUUCAUUGAAUCUCGAUCGUAGUGAUACACAUGUUUAUAAUAUUGAUGCCAAAAGAUGCAAAGUAGUAAUGAUAGUACCACUUAAUUGUGGAACGGCCUCUUGAGUCAUAUUGGUGUAAAACGUAUGAAAAAGUUCCAUACUGAUGGAUCUUUGGACUCACUCGUUUUGAAUCGUUUGAGACAUACGAACCAUGCCUAUUGGUGUAAACGCAUGAAGAAACUCCAUGUAGAUAGAUCGUUUGGACUCAUUUGAUUUCGAAUCACUUGAGACAUGCAAAUCAUGCCACAUGGGGAAGAUGACUGAAGGCCUCGUUUUCCAUUGAGAUGGAACAAGAGAGUAACUUAUUGGAAGUAAUACAUUUUGAUGUGUGCAGUCCAAUGAGCGCCGAGGCACGUAGUGGAUAUCAUUAUGUUCUUACUUCACAGAUGAUUUGAGUAGAUACUAGUAUAUUUACUUGACGAAACACAAGUCCGAAUUAUUGAAAGGUUCAAGUAAUUUCAGAGUGAAGUUGAAGAUCGUUGUGACAAGAGGAUGAAAUUCUACGAUAUGAUUGUAGAGAUAUAUGUGUGAGUUGCGAGUUUGGUACACAUUAAGACAAUGUGGAAAUUGUUUCACAACUAAUGUCACCUAGAUUAUCAUGGUGUGAUGGUGUGUCCGAACAUCGUAGGCGCGCCCUAUUAAGAUAUGGUGCAUACUAUGAUGCCUCUUAUCGAAUUACCACUAUCAUUUUGGGGCUAUGCAUUGGAGACAACACAUUCACUUUUAGAAGGGUGCCAUGUAAGUUCCAUUGAGAUGACACCAUAUGAACUGUGGUUUGGAGAAACCUAAGGUGUCAUUUCUUUAAAUUUUGGGGCUACUAUGCUUAUGUCCAAAGGCUUCGGCCUGAUAAGAUCGAACCCAAAUUGGAUAAAUGCAUCUUCAUAGGAUACCCAAAAUAGUUGGGUAUACCUCCUAUCUCAUAUCCGAAAGGAAAGUGUUUGUUUCCGACAACGGGUCCUUUCUCGAGAAAGAGUUUCUCUCGAAAGAAUUGAGUGGGAGGAUGCUGGAACUUGACGAGGUUACUGAACCAACACUUCAACCAGAGAGUAGAAGGGAGCAGGAAGUUGUUCAUGUGGCACCUACACAAGUUGAAGUGGAAGCUGAUGAUGGUGAUCAUGAAGCUUCGGAUCAAGUUACUACCAAACCUCGUAGGUCGACAAGGAUACGCGCUACUACGGAAUGGUACAGUAAUCUUGUCUUGGAGGUCAUGUUGCUAGACAACAAUCAACCUAUGAGCUAUGGAGAAGCGAUGGUGGGCCCGGAUUCCAAAAAAUGGCUGAAGGCCAUGAAAUCCGAGAGAGGAUCCAUGUAUGAAAACAAAGUGUGGACUUUGGAAGAACUACUUGAUGGUCAUAAGUCUGAUAAGUAUAGAUGGAUCUUCAAAAGGAAGACAGACGAUGAUGGUGAAUGUCAACAUUUAAGAAAAGCUCGACUUGUUGCAAAUAGGUUUCCGACAAGUUCAAAGAGUUUACUAUGAUGAGCCUUUCUCACUCAUAGCGAUGCUAAAAUUCGUUGGAAUUAUGUUAGUAGUUGUUGCAUUUUUCAAUUGUGAAAUCUUGCAGAUGAAUGUCAAAACAUUGUUUCCUUGUGGAAAGGUUGUAUGUGAUGCAACCAGAAGGUUUUGUCGAUCCUAAGGAUGCUAACAAGUGUGCAAGCUCCAACGAUCCUUCUAAGGACUGGAGUGAGCAUCUCGGAGUUGGAUUAUGCGCUUUGAUAAGAUGAUCAAAGCUUUUGGGUUUAUACAAAGUUUAUGAGAAACUUGUAUUUCCAAGGAAGUGAGUGGGAGCACUAAAAUUUCUGAUGAGUAUAUGCGGUUGACAUAUUGUUGAUGAGAAAUGAUGUAGAAUUUUUGGAAAGCAUAUAGGGUUGUUUGAAAAGGUGUUUUCAAAGGAAAAACCUGGAUUAAGCUACUUGAACAUUGAGCAUCAAGAUCUAUAGAGAUAGAUCAAGACGCUUGAUAAAACUUUCAAUGAAAUGCAAGCCUUGACAACUUUUUGAAGGAGUUCAAAAUAGACCGACAAAGAAUGAGUUCUUUGCUAUGUUGUAAGGUGUGAAUUUGAGUAAGACUCAAAGCUCAACCACGGCAGAAAAAGGAAAAAGGAUGAAGGUCGUCCCCUAUGACUUAGCCAUAGGCUCUAUAGUAUGCUAUGCUGUGUACCGCACCUAAUGUGUGCCUUGCCAUGAGUCUGUCAAGGGGUACAAAGGUGAUCCAGGAAUGGAUUACUGGACAGCGGUCAAAAGUUAUCCUUAGUAACUAGCUGACUAAGGAAUUUUUCUCAAUUAUGGAGGUGAUAAAAGAGUUCGUCGUAAAGAGUUACGUCGAUGCAAGCUUUGACACUAAUCCGGAUGACUUUGAGUAGUAAACCUGAUUCGUAUAGUGGAGUAGUCAUUUGAAAUAGUUCCAAAUGGCACGUAGUAGCAGCAUCUACACGAUGACAUAGAGAUUUGUAAAGCACACACGGAUCUGAAAGGUUCCUACCCGUUGACUAAAAAUCUCUCUCACAAGCAAGACAUGAUUAAACCCCACAACUGUAUGGGUGUUAGAUUCAUCAAAAUCACAUAGUGAUGUGAAACUAGAUUAUUGACUCUAGUGCAAGUGGGAGACUCUUGAAAAUAUGCCCUAGAGGAAAUAAUAAUUGGUUAUUAUUAUAUUUCCUUGUUCAUGAUAAUCGUUUAUUAUCCAUGCUAUAAUUGAAUUGAUUGGAAACUCAAAUACAUGUGUGGUUACAUAGACAAAACACUGUCCCUAGUGAGCCUCUAGUUGACUAGCUCAUUGAUCAAAGAUGGUUAAGGUUUCCUAGCCAUAGACAAGUGUUGUCACUUGAUAAUGGGAUCACAUCAUUAGGAGAAUGAUGUGAUGGACAAGACCCAAACUACGAACGUAGCAUAUGACCGUGUUAGUUUAUUGCUACUAUAUUCUGCAUGUCAAUGUAUCUGUUCCUAUGACCAUGAGAUCAUGCAACUCCCACACACCGGAGGAAUGCCUAGUGUGUAUCAAACAUCACAACGUAACUGGGUGACUAUAAAGGUGCUCUACAGGUAUCUCCAAAGGUGUCUGUUGGGUUGGCAUGAAUCGAGACCGAGAUUUGUCACUCCGUACGACGGAGAGGUAUCUCGGGGCCCACUCGGUAAUACAACAUCACAAUAAGCCUUGCAAGCAAUGUAACUAAGGAGUUAGUCACGGGAUCUUGUAUUACAGAACGAGUAAACAGACUUCCCGGUAACGAGAUUGAACUAGGUAUGGAGAUACCGACGAUCGAAUCUCAGGCAAGUAACAUACCGAAGGACAAAGGGAACAACAUACAAGAUUAACUGAAUCCUUGACAUAGAGGUUCAACCAAUAGUGAUCUUCGUAGAAUAUGUAGGAGCCAAUAAGGACACCCAUGUCACGCUAUUGGUUAUUCACCGGAGAGCGUCUCGGUCAUGUCUGCAUAGUUCUCGAACCCGCAGGGUCUGCACACAUAAUAUUUGGUGAUGAUUUGGUAUUAAUGAGUUAUGUGUGGUAGUAACUAAAAGUUGUUCGGAGUCCCGGAUGAGAUACCGGACACCAAGAGGAGCUCCGGAAUGGUCCGGAGGUAAAUAUAUAUAUAUAUGGGAAGUCAAAUUUUUUCUACCGGAAAAGUUUUGGGGUUUUUCUAUAUUGUACCUGGAAGCUUCUAGAACAUUUCGGAAACUUCUGGAGGAAUCCGGAAGUCCACCAAGGGUUCCACCACGUCCCAAGGUUUUGCAUGGGCUGAGGGGAGACGUUGUGGCCUUAUUGGGCCAAGCGCACAAGUCUCUCAAGGCCCAUGCAGUUGGGAAAGGUGGAAAGUCCACCUGUGUAUGGAAGGUAAGGAAGGGGACUAGGAUUCCACCUCCUCUCUCCUUGGCUGCGCCCUAGGGCUUGGAGGAGCUGUCCUGCACGCCCCUCCACCUAUAUAUAGGGAGGAGGGGUGCCCCAAGAGCACACACGAAGCCCUUGGCGCCCCUCUCUCUUCCUAGAUCGUUUUCUCCUUCGUUCGCGGUUUCGGUAGUGCUAGGUGUAGCCCUGUCGAGAUAACACUACCACCACCCCGUCGUGUUGCCGGAGAACUUAUCUACUACUCAUCCCUCGCUCGCUAGAUCGAGGAGGCGGAGACGUCAUCGAGCUGUACGUGUGCUGAAUCCGGAGGUGCCGUCCGUUCGACACUAGAUCGGGAUGGAUGGAUCAUGAUGAGAUCGCGGGAUGGGCUGCGAUUUGGAUCGCGAAGAUGCUCCACUACAUCAACCGCGUUAUAUACGUUUCCGCUCAGCGAUCUACAAGGGUAUAUAGAUUCAAUCUCUCCUCUCGUAGAUGAUCAUCACCAUGGAUAGGUAUUGUGUGUGCGUAGAUUUUUUUUUGUUUCGCAUGCAACGUUCCCCAACACUACACUGCAUUAAUGUCGGAUAAAAAUCUUAUAAACCGCUGCGAAUAUGAAAAAAGGAUCAACAUGGAAAAGUUGCAUGUUUACAGCAGUUCUUCGUCGGUAUAUCAUUUGCUCAAUUCUGGUUAAUGGGUGGAGUGUUACAAGCAAAAACUCCAACACGUGAAUAACAGGGUGAAGUUUAGGUAGAAAUGCCAAGGAGUUCAAGUUCUUCAAACGGUGCAUUUUCGAAGAAUCCGUUUCACGAAAAAGGCGUUCUUGAAAACAUCUAGGAAUCAGAGAAAACCAUCUACAUGAAACAGUUUCGCAUUUUCUGUAGAUUUUCAACGAUAUAUUAUUUGCCCCGUUCAAAUAAAGUUUGUAACAACUACGGAAAAAAAACAUUUUUAGCCAUUUUUAAAACUGUCUUAAAACCAUAUGGAAUUGGAAAAACAAUCUACAUAUAAAACUUUCGCAUUUGUUCAAGAUUUCGAACGCCAUAUCAUUUUCUCCAUUCCGAGUAACUAAUAAGAAAUUUGUAAAAACUACGCUGAAAAAAUAUUUUUAGCAAUUUUUAAAACUAACAUAAAACUGUAAAGAAUUGGAAAAAAAAUCUACAUAUAAAAGUUUUGCAUUUUCUCAAUCUUUCCAACGCCAUAUCCUUUGCUCCAUUUUGAGUAACCAUUGAGAAAUUAAAGCGAAAAUAGGAAGUCGGUACAACUUGUGCUGUUUUCUAAAUUACUUUUAAACCGUUAAUACUUGGAAGAAACUUUUUAUAUGAAAACCUGUGAAUUUUCAUUAGCUUUAAAAAGCCAUAUCGUUUGCAUCAAUUGGACUAGCCGUUUGCAAAUUAACCCCGAAAUACUAACCCGGCUGUUCGAUUUAAAAACUUAUGCCAUUUUGAAAUUCCUCUUUAACCGUAGGGAAUUUGGAAAAACUUUCAAUGUAUGAAACGAGGGGAUUUGCAGAAGCUAUUCAACGCCAUCUCAUUUGCCUCAUUUCAACAAACGGUUUAGAAAUAGGAUGGAAAAUUUCAUUCACGUUUUUUGUAUGAACAAACACGGUUUCAAAAACUGCUUUUAAACCGUGAAUAUUUUGAUAAAAAUUCAAACUACCCCGUUACGAGGGUGUCCAUAGCUUUCAAACGGUAUAUCACAAGCCUCAUUUGAACACUUUUAGUGGAAGUUCAAGGAAGUUCAAGUGCUAUUCUUGAGACGAGUCAACGUGAAAUCAGAAUAGUUAUUCUCAUCCCAGGAUCAAAAUAAUGUUUAUAUAUAUCUAUACCAUGUGGUACUAUAUAUAUUAAUUUAUCAUUUUGAGUAUGUUCACAUACUAUAUAUAAGAUACUACAAAGUGUGUUACAAGAUUUUUUUUUUUUGAUUUUUUUUCUAAUAUUAUGAAAUACGUACAUAUUUAUAUGUAAAAAUAAGUAUGCUAAAAAAUAUGAUACAUACUACCUAAAAAGUAGUAUAUAUAUUAUCUAAAUAUUCUUAUAUAUUAAAUACUACGCGUACGUACUCUCCGAUAUGAUAGAUAUUACAUACAACCUACCAAACAAAAGUGGAAGUAACUACACACAGUCAUACGAAACAUAUAUAUAUAUAUAUNNNNNNNNNNNNNNNNNNNNNNNNNNNNNNNNNNNNNNNNNNNNNNNNNNNNNNNNNNNNNNNNNNNNNNNNNNNNNNNNNNNNNNNNNNNNNNNNNNNNNNNNNNNNNNNNNNNNNNNNNNNNNNNNNNNNNNNNNNNNNNNNNNNNNNNNNNNNNNNNNNNNNNNNNNNNNNNNNNNNNNNNNNNNNNNNNNNNNNNNNNNNNNNNNNNNNNNNNNNNNNNNNNNNNNNNNNNNNNNNNNNNNNNNNNNNNNNNNNNNNNNNNNNNNNNNNNNNNNNNNNNNNNNNNNNNNNNNNNNNNNNNNNNNNNNNNNNNNNNNNNNNNNNNNNNNNNNNNNNNNNNNNNNNNNNNNNNNNNNNNNNNNNNNNNNNNNNNNNNNNNNNNNNNNNNNNNNNNNNNAUAUAUAUAUAUAUAUAGGGUCGCGCUAUUCGUCACCCUGGGUGAGGAAUAAUUAUUCUUCACCCCCUCUAUUUUAACAUCAAUGCAUCGUAAUUUUACGUUACGUAUUUUUUUUUCUUAUUCCAUACAUAAAAAGAGACCGUAAGAAAAUGUAUAAUCAUCGUAAAAUUUAUUUUUGUUACGUAAAAUUACAAACGUAAAAACAUAGCGUAAAAUAUACAUAAAAUGNNNNNNNNNNNNNNNNNNNNNNNNNNNNNNNNNNNNNNNNNNNNNNNNNNNNNNNNNNNNNNNNNNNNNNNNNNNNNNNNNNNNNNNNNNNNNNNNNNNNNNNNNNNNNNNNNNNNNNNNNNNNNNNNNNNNNNNNNNNNNNNNNNNNNNNNNNNNNNNNNNNNNNNNNNNNNNNNNNNNNNNNNNNNNNNNNNNNNNNNNNNNNNNNNNNNNNNNNNNNNNNNNNNNNNNNNNNNNNNNNNNNNNNNNNNNNNNNNNNNNNNNNNNNNNNNNNNNNNNNNNNNNNNNNNNNNNNNNNNNNNNNNNNNNNNNNNUAAAAUAUACAUAAAAUGCAUAUUUUCUUGUCUUACAGUCUAUAUUUUUAUUUUUUUAUGUCAAAUUUUACAUAGUGGGUCAAUAUGAAUGUAACUAUUUGUAUUUUAAAUGUAAUUUAUUUAUGAAAAGCUCGUAAGAUUACCUCGGGUGAAGAAUAAACUAUUCUGCAUCCUGGAUGAUGAAUAGAGUUUAUAUAUAUAUAUAUAUAGACACACACACACAUUCUAUUAGGCAUCCAAGAUGAAGAAUAGCUUAUUCCUCAUCCUAGCGGUCUCACCGAGCUACAUUUUUUCUCACAUGCAAACGUAAUUUUAUAGUAUGCAUGUUGUAAAAUUACAUUGCUUCUAAUAUAAAUUAUUGAAACAAUUUUUAGUUUUAUAUUGCCGCACCAUAUGUUUUCUCACAUGCAGAACAUAACUUUAUAUCAUGCAUGUUGUAAAAUUACCUCAGAUUUUUUUUCAUGGUGGAAGACAAACUUCCUUACUCAAGAGUGUAAUAUUACCUCAAGUCUAUUUCUUGUUACGUUUUCAAGUCAUGGUGGUGGAAUGGGACUUGGGUGAGGAAUAAGAAUUCCUCAUCGAGGGUAUAUAUAUAAAAAGUUUAUUCAUCACUCAGGAUACAUAAUAAGUUAUUCUUUACCCGAGGUAAUCUUAAGAUCGUUUCAUAAAUUAAUUAAUUUUGGAAUACAAAUAAUUACAUUUCUGUUCAUCCACUAUGUGAAAUUUGACAUAAGAAAACAAAAAUACAGGUCAUAAGACCAGAAAAUUUGCAUUUUAUGUAUAUUUUAUGUUAUGUUUUUAUGUUUGUAAUUUUACAUAACAUAAAAUAUAUUUUUCGGUGAUUUUAUAUUUUCUUACUGUCUCUUUUUAUGUAUGAAAUAAGAACAAAAUUAUGGAACGUAAAUUUACAAUGCAUUGAUGCUAAAAUAGAGGGGGUUGAAGAAUAACAAUUCCUCAUUCAGGGUGAUGAAUAGUCAAUCCCUAUAUGCCCAUGGGGUCAAGCAAUGCAAUAUCGAUUCCACAAAUCCUUCCCUCUCCCUUUUAACAACCAGCAAAAGUGUCAACCAAUUUGGAGUUCAUCCGAAUUGGGUUUGAAAUCCAAAAGGUUUGAAUUUAGGUGCCCAAUUUUUUCAUAAAAGAGAUUCUUAAGUUAGAGCAUCUACAACCAAAACUUGCAAAAAUGAUCCCUCAAACGCCCGCGGACGCGCCCGGGCGUGUCCGAGGGAAGUGACCGGACACGUCACAAAUAAACACUGUUGCAAGAGGAAAUUUCAUACUAGAUUCUCAAAUCCAUACACUACUCCUCGUCGGAUAUUUCAACGAUCUUCGUGUCCUCCGGCACAUAAACGUGUGGCAGCUGCAGCUUCGCCCCUCCGGUGCCUCCGACUACUCCGCUGCAUCUUUUUUCGCCGCUAUCUCCGUGUCGAGCUCGUCGAAGAGGACGUCAGCCUUCACCUGCCUUUGUCGGAUGAGCCGGCGGUUGGUUUCCACCUCGGCCUCAGCCCAGAUAGAAUCCAUCAUGGUGUGCGCUCCGCCAUCUCCUCGGCUUGGGCGACGGUGAACUCCGCCUCCGCCAUGUUCAAGCGUGGAGCAUGGCUCUUUGCCUCGUCCUCCUCCAUCGCCUCCGGCAACUCCUCCUCCUGCUGCUGUUGCUCCUCCUCCUCCGUCUCCGACGAGUCCAGAGGGAGACCCGCAACAAUGCGAGUGGCACGUCGAGCCUGGAUAUCCGACUCGAUCUACAUACGACGCUCUGGCGUGAGCAAAUCGUAGGUGGUGAUCCUACGGAGGACCAUAUUGACGCCGGAGAGCGGGGGAGAGGAGGCGGAUGGGCUCGGGUGGCGACGCGGGGGGGGGNNNNNNNNNNNNNNNNNNNNNNNNNNNNNNNNNNNNNNNNNNNNNNNNNNNNNNNNNNNNNNNNNNNNNNNNNNNNNNNNNNNNNNNNNNNNNNNNNNNNNNNNNNNNNNNNNNNNNNNNNNNNNNNNNNNNNNNNNNNNNNNNNNNNNNNNNNNNNNNNNNNNNNNNNNNNNNNNNNNNNNNNNNNNNNNNNNNNNNNNNNNNNNNNNNNNNNNNNNNNNNNNNNNNNNNNNNNNNNNNNNNNNNNNNNNNNNNNNNNNNNNNNNNNNNNNNNNNNNNNNNNNNNNNNNNNNNNNNNNNNNNNNNNNNNNNNNNNNNNNNNNNNNNNNNNNNGGGGGGGGGGGGGGGGGGAGUGGGUGGAUGUGCUAGGGCUGGGGGACGCCGGCCGUCUUAAAUAGCCGCUUAUGGCCUCGGCCGGCGAGCCGAAGAGGCGCCAUGCGACAUUCAGCGGCGAUGGUCAAGGUGUAUGUCAAACCGUCGGGUUUCCGGACGAGUCCGCAUUGGCCCCCGACGUCAGGCUGAUGUGGCGGGCGUGCCCGGGCUCCCGCAUAUCCACCCAACAUUUAAGCUGAAUAGGAGGGUUGCCGGUCAACCCGGGCAUUUGAGGCCCGUUUGUGGGGCAUGACUGGGUUGAUUUUUUUGUGACCGGACGGUCUGUCCGGACGUUUGAGACGGAUACGAGGACUCCGAUUGUAGAUGCCCUUAGAGAAUAGAUAUUCCUCCUCAGAAAUGCAUUCCUCAUAUUUUUACCAUUCCCCAAUCUACCCCUGCUUUAUUUCCCUACUUUUGUUUUCUGGGAAAAUAGAGAAAUGGCAUUCUGGCCAUUCCAGCAAAACAGCCCAACAAACCCCGCACACCUGCUUACCCUCUCUCUCUCAGCCGCGCUACUUGUUUCCGUGUUUGUCUCAAAAAAAAAAAAAGUUUCCGUGAAACCUCCCUGUCAGCGAGGAGAGGCAAACCCACACCCGCGCCUUUUCUCCUACAUCGGCCCUCACUUGCUCCAGCUCGGCCAUGUGCGCACCCGAGGUCAAGCUUUCCUUGUCCGGCUCGCCUCCGCCCUCAUUUCCUCGCCCUCUCACGCCAACCACCAUUUCUCCAUCCCCGCUUUUCCCCCUCGGCCAAAAAAAAGGGGAAAGCAGAAGCUGAUUCCGGUUUGCCGUCUCGGACAGGCAAGCACCUUCGCCGCCUUCCGCUCGGCCCUGACUCCGAUCGGCAUCUCGGACAGACAAGCAACUCCAAAUGAUCGUGGUGAGCAUCUUCCUCCCCAACCCUUUUCCCCUCUCGUUUACUCCCUGCAACGCUCGAUUUCUUGCACGCCCGAGCGCACCGCCGUGGGUCCACGUCGCCGGCCAUGAUCCGGUGGUCUCUGGUCCUCUCUGACUGCACGGUUGGAACCGUACAUCCUCGUAGAUCGUUUUUCCGCGCUUGUUUUUCGUUUGCGCUCGCCCUAUCGCCAUGACCGUGCACCAGCCGAGCGUUCCCCGCUCAGCGCCGUGUCGUCACCAAAGUCGCUCUCGUCGGCGUUUGGUGACGUGGAUGGUAGCCGGGAUUGCAUCUUCUCACGCCGAACACAACGCAUGCAGAACAUUCCGGAGAGCAACUCGCCGUGGUUUUGGUCGCCGCCGGUGGCUCCCCUGAAUUACUCUGUGUUUUUUUUAACACUGUAUUAUUACUCUGUUUCGCCAACACACGAGCUGCCUCUGCACACUUUUUUUUUUUUGAGAAAUACCUCUGCACACAUUUUCUUAAGGGAAAAAGGCUAAAUUUAGAAUGUAUCUAGCUAACUUAUGAGCUUUCAUAUUGCUUUCACCACCUUGAUAAAUAAAACUACAAGAAAAAUUGAUAGACCGAAGUUUGACAUUAAAAGAAAGAAAAGCAGACGUGUCCCAGCCAACUGCACCCAAAGGGCAAAUCUUUUUUUCCGACUCGAAUCCACAACCUGUUUCAUAAAAAGGAAGAAUGUGACAACCACCACGACACUAACCAACUUGUGUAAUGGAUCUUCGUUUUCCUUUUUUAUUAGUUCCUACAUUCGUUAUGUUCUUUUUUCUUUUCAUGUUUUCUAGUUCCUUUAAGUUUUCUUCUAAUUUUUGCUUAUAUGUGCGGCUUGUUAGUUUGUGAACUUUUUUCACCGACUUUGAUGAUAUAUUUUUUUUCAUUUUUUGACGAUUUCUUUUGAAAAUCGAUGAACUUUUUUUAAAUUCGAUGAACAUUUUUCAAGUUUGAUGAACUUUUUCCUUUUUGGAUAUUUUUUUAAUAAAUCGAUAUAAUCUUAUUUAAGAUCGUUGAUAUUUUUAUAAUUGGAUGAACUUUUUUUUAAUUUGAUGAACCUUUUUUUGGUUUUACGAUUUUUUUUUCAAAUUCGAUCAACUUUUUUUGAAAAUCCAUCAACUUUUUCAAAAAAUCGUUGAACAUUUUUCAAAAUCACUGAACUUUUUUUCAAAAUUAAUAUAGGAGUACUUUGUUUGGAUUUGUGAACCUUUUUUAUCCCCCAGAUAGGAGCUCCCAAAAAAAAAAGAGGUCCAAAUCUUAUCUUUGUCGCACGCUCCGUCCGCAUCUUCCUCUCGCCUUCUCCAGUUCUCCGCCGCCGUCCGCCGCCGUCCGCCACUGUCCCGGCCUCCCCCCGCGCCCCUCGCCGUACUGCGCCUGCUGCCUGCUCUGCGCGAGCAUAACCCCGCCAUGCUGCACUGCUGCUGCCGCCCAGAGCCCCAGCCCCCAGACUUCUUCUCAUUCCCCUGGCCUAUUCAAAUUAGAAUGCUCAGAGUUGCAGCGCAGCCUUGAGUUCUUGAUUCAGAUGGUGCACAACAACUUAUCCCUGAGUUGCCUGUUCCGGGUUUUUAGGUCAUGAUUUAUUUCAUUUUCUGCUAUAUAUUUUUCAAAGAUUUUUUGUCAAGUACAUGGUUAUGGACCGGAUUCGAACCAUUCCCAGGUUGACAUUCAAUUCAUCCGAAAGUUAUGAUAUAACCUUAACAUGAGUUGAUAAUAUGUUCCUUUAUUUUUUUUUGUAGAUUUGAUGUCCAAGAUGGUAGAACAUUGAUUGCUGUGACUAAACAUUGUUGAUGGAAAUUUGGAGUCAACUUGCAGCAGGAAAAAUGGCAGAGGCUACUAUCCUGGUGGUACGAAGGCCCUAUUUAGAUCCAGGGGCUAUAGCUAGGUUGAGCUAGUUGAGACUCAACUAACCCUUAAAACAUCCAAACAUAUGGGCUAGUUUGAGUUAGAUUGGAACUAGCCCACCAAAAAAACUAUCCCUGUAAAGUGGUGCUAAUUGGAGCUAGUUGUGGUGGGACAAAAAAAAAACAUAUUUUUCUCCCUCACCGAGC
This 44610-nucleotide long non-coding RNA is filed under the name Hordeum vulgare. RNAcentral's name for it is "long non-coding RNA (HVUL_LNC011696)". Lineage: Eukaryota; Viridiplantae; Streptophyta; Magnoliopsida; Poales; Poaceae. The record is from RNAcentral.